This 72733-nucleotide long non-coding RNA is filed under the name Setaria viridis. Its description in RNAcentral is "long non-coding RNA (SVIR_LNC010032)". The record is from RNAcentral. Lineage: Eukaryota; Viridiplantae; Streptophyta; Magnoliopsida; Poales; Poaceae.
GAUAAUAAUAAUAAUCAUGUUUCCAUAAAAUUGCUAAGUCCAGAGAUAAUACAUAAACAUAGUAGACUGUUCAUGACACAUAUCACGGUGGACAGUGUUUGUGUCCUUAUUACAAGCAACGAGAGAUGCUCGUCACCAACACGCGCGCGCACAGAUGCACGACAUACAUAUAGUAGAGACCAACAGAUGGUCGUCCCAUAUGGUGAACAAUUUAUUGGGGAUAAAUAUUAACGUAACUUGGCCAUAGCUUGAAGCAUAGCAACAUAUGCCUAUGAGUGGCAUUCAUGCUAUCGUUUUAGGCUUGUCCAGCUCCUUCCAUCUUAGCAAGCACUUCCAUUUCUACCAUCUUAGCAGCAACUGUCAAAUUGAGAUACGGAAAUCCCAUUAGCGCAUGAGUUAAUUUUGCAGUGGAAAUAGAGUACAAGAUGUCUUCAUGAUGUAAGUAAUAUGCCUGAAGUUGUGAGAUGGGAAGUGAAGUCAACAAAUUACAUUAACGGAAAUGCAUGGAAGGCCACACAUACGUAUUAGUCCAUGAUAUGCUACAAAGCUUGUAUGUACAUAUAGCAAAUUAAAUGCAUUAAUUGAAUAGAGUGUGUUUAGUGAAUUUACCAGAAUCGUCCAGAAAACAUGGGAAACAGCAAGUGUUCUUGCAGACUGCGUCGGAGGCACCCGCACGAAUACAAAGCUGACAACAUAGUUUUGCCUGGGCGGAUGCGCAGCAGCCGCACUCCGCCGCGGUGGGGUUAACAUUGAGGCUCAAGAUGACCAGGCACAUGAUCACCAUCAAAGUGGUAGUCCUCUUUCCCUCCAUUGCCUCCUCUUAGCUUGCUGCUACCUUCCUUGGUUACCUAGCUAAGUUUAUUGGUUUUGUGUUGAGAGGUGUGAUUUUUGAAUGGACGUUGCCGGCGGCAAUUUAUAGGCAGCUGAGCUAUGUGAUGAUAUGGACUAGGUGCAAAUGGGUGGUUAAUGGCAAGGAAAGGGGCGUCAGACAAAGCCCAAUGGCAACUGCUGACAUGCGAUUAAAUUCAGAUCCACAUCCGGCCAUUCAAUAAUACGGUUGGAGUUGUGGCACAGAUAUAUUAUUGCAUGAUCAUCAAGAUAAGAUCGUACAGUGACUGAGUGAGACAAUAAAUAGCCAAGUAAACUAUUUUAUCCUGCUGCAAGCUGCAUUCAUAAGUUUAUUUCACCUUUGAUCACAAUACUCUUCACACACGUACGUCUCAGGGAGAUCUCACUUCCGCUGGACUGCUCACUUCCGCUGUCGUCGGUACUGCCAAAGACAUAAGCUCACAUCUGCUAUUGCGGAGCAGGCCAAUUUGCUGCGGAACUUCGGCGACGACCUGAAGGACAUGAACUCGGUGCUGGAGUCCAUCUCAGCAGCGCUCUAGGACGCUGACACCGGUAGAAAAACGACCUUCCAUCGUCAACAAAAAUCCCGGUAGCUUUUUUACUCGGUACUAAAGAGGUUUUAAUCUCGUGCAAACACCUUUAGUCCAGAUUGCUAUUACCACGCAACCCGGACUAAAGCGUCCCCCGCGAGUUAGUAUAUAAGGAUUGCAUCCUUUACUCAGUCAGAUAUAAUAUGUAGGUGAGAUGGUAAGGAAGCUAUGCGUGAGGCUUCAGGUUGUGGGUUCGAAUCCAAGUGGGUGCAGCUGUGGCUUAAGCGGCUGAGGCACGCCGCCAUAGACAUCUCAGAUUUGCUCGAAGACUACCAAGACACUAGUGAACCCUUAACAGUAAAGGUGAGUACUUAUGAAUGUCAGCAUCCAUGUUGUCCAUGCUUCCAAUGUAAUAACAAGAUGGACUACUCUUCCUAGCGGACUCUUCACAACCACUCGUAAAGCUAUGCGUUUCUCAAUGCAAUUUCGUAGAAGCCAAUCGAUCCAACCAAGUGACUAAAUCAUUCGUCCUUUCCAAUGAUGUGCAUCAGGUUUUCUAUAUGAAGGGCAUGUCUAGCAAACCUAAGAUUUCAGAAGAAAAAGAAAAAUCAUUGGAGCCAAAGAGCCACAUAGUUCUUCUAGGAAAAAAAUCAUGGGAGUCGAGAACAUAUCAAACCAAUCAGGGGAUUAUGGUCAGCUUAAUGGCAUGCCUCCAUUCGAUGUCGAAGUUCACCCAAGCAUCAUGUUAGCCAAACAUCAAAUGUUCGUGCGUUGUUACGGUAAAGAUCAAUUGUGUUUUUUAAACUCUUGGAAUUUUUUUAUCUAAGUUUUUAUUUACACUUAUUGGAUGUCUACACAUUUGCUAGAAAACUAAAAUAAUUUGGACUUAAUUAUUUCUUUCAACUGAAGUACUCACUAAAUUUCUACCUUUUUAUUUAAGCAAGAGAGUUGCUAAAAAAAAUGGAUACGUAACCAUGUUGUAUCAUACAAAGUAACCACGUUUCACAUAUAGUCCGGCUUAGCAAACACCAUUGUUUUCUGAACAUAGCGUACAUGAGUUAACAGACAUGGAUUUAUUUCUAUUGCAAGUAGCAUAGCGUACAACCUGCCUGCACCGAUGCAGCUCAAUAUGCGAUAAUUUUUAUCUUCCCAUGUAAUUUUUCUACUCUAGUACAUAUUGAACUCCACAUUAAUGUCAUGUUCUUUCGCGCCCCAGAAGGUUCCUAAAGUUUGGAAACUUAAUAGAUAGCCAGAAUUUUUUUUAAAGAUAUUUAUAUGGAUACUUGUAUGUUCUUUCCAAACUAACAAUAUUGUUUACCAAUAUCAGAAGGAAUAUGGUUAGGAGCCAUUGCCGCAUAUGGCAGGUGAUGGUAGAUGGCGUAUGGGGUUUCGUUAAUUUAAUGGUAUAAUAAGCUGAAAUACAUUUUCUAUUUGCAAAUGAAUCAUAGCUGAAAUUGGUGGGAUUGUUUUUUCGCCGGUUUAGCAUCCUGUGCACCAGUUCAACCGGAGGGAAGCUGUUUUUUUUCUUUGGUUUUCCACCGGUUCACCGAGACCGAUGACAAUUUUAUGGCAGAAUCAUUACUUGUUUUACUAUUAGGUGAAGAUUUUAGCGUUUAGGUAUCUCACAUUAAACGCAACUUCAACAAUCUAUUUCUAGUGUAUAAUGUAGGAGACCCCGUAAAGAGUCUACACACACAUAUAUGUUGACUAUGAAUGUAAGUUUGUUGGUUUUAUGUAUGUUCGUUUGGAGUUUAUAUAAAUUUUACAUUUUAUAGUUUUGUGUAUAUGACGAAGAUCCAUGACUUGCAUUAAUUUAGCCUUUCUUCCAACAACUCUUAUGCAUGCUGUUUCUAGGCGAGCGUACUGGUUGCAAUUUUGGUCCCCGAUAUAGUGUGAGGACUUAAGGGACACGUGCAGGUCGUAACCUUAGAUAUUUUUGCUGAGAAUGGAUGAAGAAGCAAUAAUAUACUUUGCUUCUGAUUUUCUCCAUGUCAUUUGCUUACUCUUAUCCCUUUUAUUUAUCAUUAUAAGAUGAAAAUAUUGUAAAAACUUGGCUACGUGCGGUCGCAGAAGCUAGAGACUAAAGCGUCCCCCACGAGUUACUAUAUAAAAGGAUUGCAUCCUCUACUCAGUCAUAUGUACUGUGUAGGUGAGAUGGUAAGGAAGCUAUGUGUGAGGCUUGAGGUUGUAGGUUCGAAUCCCACGCACCGCGUGCGCAUGCGCAUAUUUUGCGUGAAAAAUCGCAUGACUUGUGGUCGGCCAAGGAGAAGUGCGUGCGGCUGAGGCACGCCGCCAUAGACAUCUCGGAUUUGCUCCAAGACUACCAAGACACUAGCGAACCCUUAACGGCAAAGUUGAGUACUUACGCGUGUUAGCAUCUAUGUUGUCCAUGCUUCCAAUGCAAUAACAAGAAGGGCUACUCAUCCUAGCGGAUUCUUCACAACCACUCGUAAAGCUAUGCGUUUCUCAAUGCAAUUUCGUAGAUGUCAAUCGAUCCAACCAAGCGACUGAAUCAUUCGUCCUUGCUAAUGAUGUGCAUCAGGUUUUCUAUAUGAAGAACAUGUCUAGCAAAUCCAAGAUUUCAGAAGAAAAAUAAAAAUCAUGAGAACCAAAGCACCACGUAGUUCUUCCAGGUAAAAAAAACAAUCAUCCACUGGGAUGACACACAGUAGCGAUCCAAAACGUCCAUAUUAAGACUUUUUGAUAGCAGAAAAAACAUGAAAAUGUCUAAUAUUUGUAGUAUUAAAAGGAAAAAUAAUAUAUUCACUUGACCUUUUUUUCGUAGCAACGCACCGGUGCGUAGUCAGACUUAGGCCACGUUUGGAUACUCCCUACUAAAGUUUAGCACCUGUCACAUAGGAUGUUUGGAUACUAAUUAGGAGUAUUAAACAUAGGCUAAUUAUAAAACUAAUUGAAUAGAUGGAGUCUAAUUUGCGAGACGAAUCUAUUAAGCCUAACUAGUCCAUGAUUUGACAAUGUGGUGCUACAGUAACCAUUUGCUAAUGGUGGAUUAAUUAGGCUUAAUAGAUUCGUCUCGCGAAUUAACAUAGGGUUCUGCAAUUAAUUUUAUAAUUAGCUCAUGUCUAGUCCUUCUAAUUAGCAUCCGAACAUCUGAUAUGAUACUGCUAAAGUUUAUCACCUAGUAUCCAAAUACCCCCUUAAUGCACGAUGCCUGUGCAUCCACUGGGCCUACCCUCGUGGAUCACGCGCUCGUGGAUCACGCGCACCAUGACAUGGCUCAUUAGCUAGUCGUGCUAAUCCUUACCACCAAAUUAAAAACUAGCAUGUGUUGUGUGUUUGUGACCCUAAACGACUACCACCUUCCCGAGUCCACCGGAGUUGCCAGUUCACCACUAAGCUGACUCUCCGAGCUUCAUGUCACUGUCACCGCUCCAAAGACCUAGAUCGGUUCGCUGUGCACCCCGCUUCGUCCUGAGCUAAAUCCCAUCACGAAAGGUGACCGGAUGCUCGUUUUCGAGCGAAUUCUAGCGAGAUUGCCACCACCUUUCCCCUUCCAGCCGAUCGCAGCUGUCUGAUCACAAACCGACAGCCCAGAUCGGAUUUGACCAGGUCAAUACCGGUCAAGCCGAGAUGCAUGCUGCUUUUGCAAGAAGGCCCCUAUUUUUCUCUCGUUUUGCACUUGAGGUCCUACGCAGUUCAAAAGUAAUUAGAUCUAGAUCCUUUUUCUUCUGUUUUAGCCCUGUUCUUUUAUAAAAUCCCACCCGCCAUCCUGUUUGGUAUUUUGACAUGUUAGACCUUCUAUUUAUAUGUUUAAUUAGGUUUUAGCCCUUGGUUUCUUUAAGUUUAGCUCUUGGAAGUUUAGUUUUCUCGCAGUUAAGCCCCUGAACCUUGUUUAGUUCAUAUCUUUAGCGUUUUAAAUCCGUUUUAAGAGAUUCUUACGCCCAUAAGUUCGUGUUGAUGCAUAGAUUAGUUGACUUAUACGGACCUUGCUGAUUCAGCUCCUUCAUUGUGCUUCAGAUCUCGCUAGUGAAGAAUAAUGGAUGGGCUUUGGUUGAGCUUGUAGAUCGACCUGCAGUUGCAGUGAAUGUGCUGAGGACUGGCGGUACCAAUAAUGGGAGGCCGCUGCUCUGCUUGCUACCAAGGCCUGCGACGCUUGGACGCCAUUCAGAGUGCAUAAUUUCCAAGGAUCUCAAGGGCUCCACACCACGUUCCAAGUGUUUUUUCUUUGCCGAGUGUUUUUAGCUCGGCACUUGGCAAAGAGCUUGUUUGCCGAGUGUCCGAAAAAAACACUUGGCAAAGAGAAAACACUCGGCAAAUUUGAUGUUUCCCGUAGUGAUGUACUAUUCAAACUUGAACUGGGAUGCAGGCUUCAGUACCAAAGAGAGCUCUGGGCGCGGGUGAGCAGUGAGCUGGCCGGGCAGGGAGCUCCAAAGCGACAGCAACAAAGAGAGAAAUGCUAAGAGUAAGAACGACACACGAGGUCACUUCACAUAGAUAAUAGCAGUACGAACCAUACAAUAUCCUCUCUCAGUUUCACUCCGCCUCACACACGGCUAGCACACCAUGCAUGCCGAUUUCAUAUUAUUAAUAUUAUUUUUUGGAUGGUUGUUGAAACUAUAUAUAUAGUUAGUCCAAUCUCACGUUUCCGAUUAUAAAAAUCAACGUAAAGAGAUCGGUAGGGAGAGCCGGCAUAAUGAAGCCGACGCGUGUAAUAAGCACCAGAGCCGGCAUUUAUACAAACUGGUACGAAUAGUAAAAAACUAGAAUUUAUAAAUAAAAAAAUGAUUUGCACAUCUAUGCAAUAAUUAGGGGUUAGUGGCAGGUCUAGAGAGAUAUCUCAUCAUUAUAUCCGGUUUAACGAGGAUAAAAAAGAGUGUAUUUUCCACUCAUCAUGUUGUCUUUUCGCAGCGGUACCACUUUUCGUGUGUUGUAUCGGUCCCCUAAUACGGAGUCUCCGAGGCCCGAGAAAAUAAGGAAAGUGAUAGUAGCCCAGAAAUCGGCCAAGUUUCUUUCCCCUUUGGCUUUCCUACUAGGAUUCAGAAUCCUCUUUCGCAUGACAAUCUUAAUUAUCUCCCAUACUCCAAAACUCACAAAAACAUCAAGAGUCCGCUGAGAAUAAAUUUAAGUAAAAAACAUGCACACACAGAUAAUAAUAAUAAUCAUGUUUCCAUAAAAUUGCUAAGUCCAGAGAUAAUACAUAAACAUAGUAGACUGUUCAUGACACAUAUCACGGUGGACAGUGUUUGUGUCCUUAUUACAAGCAACGAGAGAUGCUCGUCACCAACACGCGCGCGCACAGAUGCACGACAUACAUAUAGUAGAGACCAACAGAUGGUCGUCCCAUAUGGUGAACAAUUUAUUGGAGAUAAAUAUUAACGUAACUUGGCCAUAGCUUGAAGCAUAGCAACAUAUGCCUAUGAGUGGCAUUCAUGCUAUCGUUUUAGGCUUGUCCAGCUCCUUCCAUCUUAGCAAGCACUUCCAUUUCUACCAUCUUAGCAGCAACUGUCAAAUUGAGAUACGGAAAUCCCAUUAGCGCAUGAGUUAAUUUUGCAGUGGAAAUAGAGUACAAGAUGUCUUCAUGAUGUAAGUAAUAUGCCUGAAGUUGUGAGAUGGGAAGUGAAGUCAACAAAUUACAUUAACGGAAAUGCAUGGAAGGCCACACAUACGUAUUAGUCCAUGAUAUGCUACAAAGCUUGUAUGUACAUAUAGCAAAUUAAAUGCAUUAAUUGAAUAGAGUGUGUUUAGUGAAUUUACCAGAAUCGUCCAGAAAACAUGGGAAACAGCAAGUGUUCUUGCAGACUGCGUCGGAGGCACCCGCACGAAUACAAAGCUGACAACAUAGUUUUGCCUGGGCGGAUGCGCAGCAGCCGCACUCCGCCGCGGUGGGGUUAACAUUGAGGCUCAAGAUGACCAGGCACAUGAUCACCAUCAAAGUGGUAGUCCUCUUUCCCUCCAUUGCCUCCUCUUAGCUUGCUGCUACCUUCCUUGGUUACCUAGCUAAGUUUAUUGGUUUUGUGUUGAGAGGUGUGAUUCUUGAAUGGACGUUGCCGGCGGCAAUUUAUAGGCAGCUGAGCUAUGUGAUGAUAUGGACUAGGUGCAAAUGGGUGGUUAAUGGCAAGGAAAGGGGCGUCAGACAAAGCCCAAUGGCAACUGCUGACAUGCGAUUAAAUUCAGAUCCACAUCCGGCCAUUCAAUAAUACGGUUGGAGUUGUGGCACAGAUAUAUUAUUGCAUGAUCAUCAAGAUAAGAUCGUACAGUGACUGAGUGAGACAAUAAAUAGCCAAGUAAACUAUUUUAUCCUGCUGCAAGCUGCAUUCAUAAGUUUAUUUCACCUUUGAUCACAAUACUCUUCACACACGUACGUCUCAGGGAGAUCUCACUUCCGCUGGACUGCUCACUUCCGCUGUCGUCGGUACUGCCAAAGACAUAAGCUCACAUCUGCUAUUGCGGAGCAGGCCAAUUUGCUGCGGAACUUCGGCGACGACCUGAAGGACAUGAACUCGGUGCUGGAGUCCAUCUCAGCAGCGCUCUAGGACGCUGACACCGGUAGAAAAACGACCUUCCAUCGUCAACAAAAAUCCCGGUAGCUUUUUUACUCGGUACUAAAGAGGUUUUAAUCUCGUGCAAACACCUUUAGUCCAGAUUGCUAUUACCACGCAACCCGGACUAAAGCGUCCCCCGCGAGUUAGUAUAUAAGGAUUGCAUCCUUUACUCAGUCAGAUAUAAUAUGUAGGUGAGAUGGUAAGGAAGCUAUGCGUGAGGCUUCAGGUUGUGGGUUCGAAUCCAAGUGGGUGCAGCUGUGGCUUAAGCGGCUGAGGCACGCCGCCAUAGACAUCUCAGAUUUGCUCGAAGACUACCAAGACACUAGUGAACCCUUAACAGUAAAGGUGAGUACUUAUGAAUGUCAGCAUCCAUGUUGUCCAUGCUUCCAAUGUAAUAACAAGAUGGACUACUCUUCCUAGCGGACUCUUCACAACCACUCGUAAAGCUAUGCGUUUCUCAAUGCAAUUUCGUAGAAGCCAAUCGAUCCAACCAAGUGACUAAAUCAUUCGUCCUUUCCAAUGAUGUGCAUCAGGUUUUCUAUAUGAAGGGCAUGUCUAGCAAACCUAAGAUUUCAGAAGAAAAAGAAAAAUCAUUGGAGCCAAAGAGCCACAUAGUUCUUCUAGGAAAAAAAUCAUGGGAGUCGAGAACAUAUCAAACCAAUCAGGGGAUUAUGGUCAGCUUAAUGGCAUGCCUCCAUUCGAUGUCGAAGUUCACCCAAGCAUCAUGUUAGCCAAACAUCAAAUGUUCGUGCGUUGUUACGGUAAAGAUCAAUUGUGUUUUUUAAACUCUUGGAAUUUUUUUAUCUAAGUUUUUAUUUACACUUAUUGGAUGUCUACACAUUUGCUAGAAAACUAAAAUAAUUUGGACUUAAUUAUUUCUUUCAACUGAAGUACUCACUAAAUUUCUACCUUUUUAUUUAAGCAAGAGAGUUGCUAAAAAAAAUGGAUACGUAACCAUGUUGUAUCAUACAAAGUAACCACGUUUCACAUAUAGUCCGGCUUAGCAAACACCAUUGUUUUCUGAACAUAGCGUACAUGAGUUAACAGACAUGGAUUUAUUUCUAUUGCAAGUAGCAUAGCGUACAACCUGCCUGCACCGAUGCAGCUCAAUAUGCGAUAAUUUUUAUCUUCCCAUGUAAUUUUUCUACUCUAGUACAUAUUGAACUCCACAUUAAUGUCAUGUUCUUUCGCGCCCCAGAAGGUUCCUAAAGUUUGGAAACUUAAUAGAUAGCCAGAAUUUUUUUUAAAGAUAUUUAUAUGGAUACUUGUAUGUUCUUUCCAAACUAACAAUAUUGUUUACCAAUAUCAGAAGGAAUAUGGUUAGGAGCCAUUGCCGCAUAUGGCAGGUGAUGGUAGAUGGCGUAUGGGGUUUCGUUAAUUUAAUGGUAUAAUAAGCUGAAAUACAUUUUCUAUUUGCAAAUGAAUCAUAGCUGAAAUUGGUGGGAUUGUUUUUUCGCCGGUUUAGCAUCCUGUGCACCAGUUCAACCGGAGGGAAGCUGUUUUUUUUCUUUGGUUUUCCACCGGUUCACCGAGACCGAUGACAAUUUUAUGGCAGAAUCAUUACUUGUUUUACUAUUAGGUGAAGAUUUUAGCGUUUAGGUAUCUCACAUUAAACGCAACUUCAACAAUCUAUUUCUAGUGUAUAAUGUAGGAGACCCCGUAAAGAGUCUACACACACAUAUAUGUUGACUAUGAAUGUAAGUUUGUUGGUUUUAUGUAUGUUCGUUUGGAGUUUAUAUAAAUUUUACAUUUUAUAGUUUUGUGUAUAUGACGAAGAUCCAUGACUUGCAUUAAUUUAGCCUUUCUUCCAACAACUCUUAUGCAUGAUGUUUCUAGGCGAGCGUACUGGUUGCAAUUUUGGUCCCCGAUAUAGUGUGAGGACUUAAGGGACACGUGCAGGUCGUAACCUUAGAUAUUUUUGCUGAGAAUGGAUGAAGAAGCAAUAAUAUACUUUGCUUCUGAUUUUCUCCAUGUCAUUUGCUUACUCUUAUCCCUUUUAUUUAUCAUUAUAAGAUGAAAAUAUUGUAAAAACUUGGCUACGUGCGGUCGCAGAAGCUAGAGACUAAAGCGUCCCCCACGAGUUACUAUAUAAAAGGAUUGCAUCCUCUACUCAGUCAUAUGUACUGUGUAGGUGAGAUGGUAAGGAAGCUAUGUGUGAGGCUUGAGGUUGUAGGUUCGAAUCCCACGCACCGCGUGCGCAUGCGCAUAUUUUGCGUGAAAAAUCGCAUGACUUGUGGUCGGCCAAGGAGAAGUGCGUGCGGCUGAGGCACGCCGCCAUAGACAUCUCGGAUUUGCUCCAAGACUACCAAGACACUAGCGAACCCUUAACGGCAAAGUUGAGUACUUACGCGUGUUAGCAUCUAUGUUGUCCAUGCUUCCAAUGCAAUAACAAGAAGGGCUACUCAUCCUAGCGGAUUCUUCACAACCACUCGUAAAGCUAUGCGUUUCUCAAUGCAAUUUCGUAGAUGUCAAUCGAUCCAACCAAGCGACUGAAUCAUUCGUCCUUGCUAAUGAUGUGCAUCAGGUUUUCUAUAUGAAGAACAUGUCUAGCAAAUCCAAGAUUUCAGAAGAAAAAUAAAAAUCAUGAGAACCAAAGCACCACGUAGUUCUUCCAGGUAAAAAAAACAAUCAUCCACUGGGAUGACACACAGUAGCGAUCCAAAACGUCCAUAUUAAGACUUUUUGAUAGCAGAAAAAACAUGAAAAUGUCUAAUAUUUGUAGUAUUAAAAGGAAAAAUAAUAUAUUCACUUGACCUUUUUUUCGUAGCAACGCACCGGUGCGUAGUCAGACUUAGGCCACGUUUGGAUACUCCCUACUAAAGUUUAGCACCUGUCACAUAGGAUGUUUGGAUACUAAUUAGGAGUAUUAAACAUAGGCUAAUUAUAAAACUAAUUGAACAGAUGGAGUCUAAUUUGCGAGACGAAUCUAUUAAGCCUAACUAGUCCAUGAUUUGACAAUGUGGUGCUACAGUAACCAUUUGCUAAUGGUGGAUUAAUUAGGCUUAAUAGAUUCGUCUCGCGAAUUAACAUAGGGUUCUGCAAUUAAUUUUAUAAUUAGCUCAUGUCUAGUCCUUCUAAUUAGCAUCCGAACAUCUGAUAUGAUACUGCUAAAGUUUAUCACCUAGUAUCCAAAUACCCCCUUAAUGCACGAUGCCUGUGCAUCCACUGGGCCUACCCUCGUGGAUCACGCGCUCGUGGAUCACGCGCACCAUGACAUGGCUCAUUAGCUAGUCGUGCUAAUCCUUACCACCAAAUUAAAAACUAGCAUGUGUUGUGUGUUUGUGACCCUAAACGACUACCACCUUCCCGAGUCCACCGGAGUUGCCAGUUCACCACUAAGCUGACUCUCCGAGCUUCAUGUCACUGUCACCGCUCCAAAGACCUAGAUCGGUUCGCUGUGCACCCCGCUUCGUCCUGAGCUAAAUCCCAUCACGAAAGGUGACCGGAUGCUCGUUUUCGAGCGAAUUCUAGCGAGAUUGCCACCACCUUUCCCCUUCCAGCCGAUCGCAGCUGUCUGAUCACAAACCGACAGCCCAGAUCGGAUUUGACCAGGUCAAUACCGGUCAAGCCGAGAUGCAUGCUGCUUUUGCAAGAAGGCCCCUAUUUUUCUCUCUUUUUGCACUUGAGGUCCUACGCAGUUCAAAAGUAAUUAGAUCUAGAUCCUUUUUCUUCUGUUUUAGCCCUGUUCUUUUAUAAAAUCCCACCCGCCAUCCUGUUUGGUAUUUUGACAUGUUAGACCUUCUAUUUAUAUGUUUAAUUAGGUUUUAGCCCUUGGUUUCUUUAAGUUUAGCUCUUGGAAGUUUAGUUUUCUCGCAGUUAAGCCCCUGAACCUUGUUUAGUUCAUAUCUUUAGCGUUUUAAAUCCGUUUUAAGAGAUUCUUACGCCCAUAAGUUCGUGUUGAUGCAUAGAUUAGUUGACUUAUACGGACCUUGCUGAUUCAGCUCCUUCAUUGUGCUUCAGAUCUCGCUAGUGAAGAAUAAUGGAUGGGCUUUGGUUGAGCUUGUAGAUCGACCUGCAGUUGCAGUGAAUGUGCUGAGGACUGGCGGUACCAAUAAUGGGAGGCCGCUGCUCUGCUUGCUACCAAGGCCUGCGACGCUUGGACGCCAUUCAGAGUGCAUAAUUUCCAAGGAUCUCAAGGGCUCCACACCACGUUCCAAGUGUUUUUUCUUUGCCGAGUGUUUUUAGCUCGGCACUUGGCAAAGAGCUUGUUUGCCGAGUGUCCGAAAAAAACACUUGGCAAAGAGAAAACACUCGGCAAAUUUGAUGUUUCCCGUAGUGAUGUACUAUUCAAACUUGAACUGGGAUGCAGGCUUCAGUACCAAAGAGAGCUCUGGGCGCGGGUGAGCAGUGAGCUGGCCGGGCAGGGAGCUCCAAAGCGACAGCAACAAAGAGAGAAAUGCUAAGAGUAAGAACGACACACGAGGUCACUUCACAUAGAUAAUAGCAGUACGAACCAUACAAUAUCCUCUCUCAGUUUCACUCCGCCUCACACACGGCUAGCACACCAUGCAUGCCGAUUUCAUAUUAUUAAUAUUAUUUUUUGGAUGGUUGUUGAAACUAUAUAUAUAGUUAGUCCAAUCUCACGUUUCCGAUUAUAAAAAUCAACGUAAAGAGAUCGGUAGGGAGAGCCGGCAUAAUGAAGCCGACGCGUGUAAUAAGCACCAGAGCCGGCAUUUAUACAAACUGGUACGAAUAGUAAAAAACUAGAAUUUAUAAAUAAAAAAAUGAUUUGCACAUCUAUGCAAUAAUUAGGGGUUAGUGGCAGGUCUAGAGAGAUAUCUCAUCAUUAUAUCCGGUUUAACGAGGAUAAAAAAGAGUGUAUUUUCCACUCAUCAUGUUGUCUUUUCGCAGCGGUACCACUUUUCGUGUGUUGUAUCGGUCCCCUAAUACGGAGUCUCCGAGGCCCGAGAAAAUAAGGAAAGUGAUAGUAGCCCAGAAAUCGGCCAAGUUUCUUUCCCCUUUGGCUUUCCUACUAGGAUUCAGAAUCCUCUUUCGCAUGACAAUCUUAAUUAUCUCCCAUACUCCAAAACUCACAAAAACAUCAAGAGUCCGCUGAGAAUAAAUUUAAGUAAAAAACAUGCACACACAGAUAAUAAUAAUAAUCAUGUUUCCAUAAAAUUGCUAAGUCCAGAGAUAAUACAUAAACAUAGUAGACUGUUCAUGACACAUAUCACGGUGGACAGUGUUUGUGUCCUUAUUACAAGCAACGAGAGAUGCUCGUCACCAACACGCGCGCGCACAGAUGCACGACAUACAUAUAGUAGAGACCAACAGAUGGUCGUCCCAUAUGGUGAACAAUUUAUUGGAGAUAAAUAUUAACGUAACUUGGCCAUAGCUUGAAGCAUAGCAACAUAUGCCUAUGAGUGGCAUUCAUGCUAUCGUUUUAGGCUUGUCCAGCUCCUUCCAUCUUAGCAAGCACUUCCAUUUCUACCAUCUUAGCAGCAACUGUCAAAUUGAGAUACGGAAAUCCCAUUAGCGCAUGAGUUAAUUUUGCAGUGGAAAUAGAGUACAAGAUGUCUUCAUGAUGUAAGUAAUAUGCCUGAAGUUGUGAGAUGGGAAGUGAAGUCAACAAAUUACAUUAACGGAAAUGCAUGGAAGGCCACACAUACGUAUUAGUCCAUGAUAUGCUACAAAGCUUGUAUGUACAUAUAGCAAAUUAAAUGCAUUAAUUGAAUAGAGUGUGUUUAGUGAAUUUACCAGAAUCGUCCAGAAAACAUGGGAAACAGCAAGUGUUCUUGCAGACUGCGUCGGAGGCACCCGCACGAAUACAAAGCUGACAACAUAGUUUUGCCUGGGCGGAUGCGCAGCAGCCGCACUCCGCCGCGGUGGGGUUAACAUUGAGGCUCAAGAUGACCAGGCACAUGAUCACCAUCAAAGUGGUAGUCCUCUUUCCCUCCAUUGCCUCCUCUUAGCUUGCUGCUACCUUCCUUGGUUACCUAGCUAAGUUUAUUGGUUUUGUGUUGAGAGGUGUGAUUCUUGAAUGGACGUUGCCGGCGGCAAUUUAUAGGCAGCUGAGCUAUGUGAUGAUAUGGACUAGGUGCAAAUGGGUGGUUAAUGGCAAGGAAAGGGGCGUCAGACAAAGCCCAAUGGCAACUGCUGACAUGCGAUUAAAUUCAGAUCCACAUCCGGCCAUUCAAUAAUACGGUUGGAGUUGUGGCACAGAUAUAUUAUUGCAUGAUCAUCAAGAUAAGAUCGUACAGUGACUGAGUGAGACAAUAAAUAGCCAAGUAAACUAUUUUAUCCUGCUGCAAGCUGCAUUCAUAAGUUUAUUUCACCUUUGAUCACAAUACUCUUCACACACGUACGUCUCAGGGAGAUCUCACUUCCGCUGGACUGCUCACUUCCGCUGUCGUCGGUACUGCCAAAGACAUAAGCUCACAUCUGCUAUUGCGGAGCAGGCCAAUUUGCUGCGGAACUUCGGCGACGACCUGAAGGACAUGAACUCGGUGCUGGAGUCCAUCUCAGCAGCGCUCUAGGACGCUGACACCGGUAGAAAAACGACCUUCCAUCGUCAACAAAAAUCCCGGUAGCUUUUUUACUCGGUACUAAAGAGGUUUUAAUCUCGUGCAAACACCUUUAGUCCGGAUUGCUGUUACCACGCAACCCGAACUAAAGCGUCCCCCACGAGUUACUAUAUAAGGAUUGCAUCCUUUACUCAGUCAGAUAUAAUGUGUAGGUGAGAUGGUAAGGAAGCUAUACGUGAGGCUUCAGGUUGUGGGUUCGAAUCCAAGGAGAAGUGGGUGCAGCUGUGGCUUAAGCGGCUGAGGCACGCCGCCAUAGACAUCUCAGAUUUGCUCGAAGACUACCAAGACACUAGUGAACCCUUAACAGUAAAGGUGAGUACUUAUGAAUGUCAGCAUCCAUGUUGUCCAUGCUUCCAAUGUAAUAACAAGAUGGACUACUCUUCCUAGCGGACUCUUCACAACCACUCGUAAAGCUAUACGUUUCUCAAUGCAAUUUCGUAGAAGCCAAUCGAUCCAACCAAGUGACUAAAUCAUUCAUCCUUUCCAAUGAUGUGCAUCAGGUUUUCUACAUGAAGGGCAUCUCUAGCAAACCCAAGAUUUCAGAAGAAAAAGAAAAAUCAUUGGAGCCAAAGAGCCACAUAGUUCUUCCAGGAAAAAAAAAUCAUGGGAGUCGAGAACAAAUCAAACCAAUCAGAGGAUUAUGGUCAGCUUAAUGGCAUGCCUCCAUUCGAUGUCGAAGUUCACCCAAGCAUCAUGUUAGCCAAACAUCAAAUGUUCGUGCGUUGUUACGGUAAAGAUCAAUUGUGUUUUUUAAACUCAUGGAAUUUUUUUUCUAAGUUUUUAUUACACUUAUUGGAUGUCUACACAUUUGCUAGAAAACCAAAAUAAUUUGGACUUAAUUAUUUCUUUCAACUGAAGUACUCACUAAAUUUCUACCUUUUUAUUUAAGCAAGAGAGUUGCUAAAAAAAAUGGAUACAUAACCAUGUUGUAUCGUACAAAGCAACCACAUUUCACAUAUAGUCCGGCUUACCAAACACCAUUUUUUACUGAACAUAGCGUACAUGAGUUAAGAGACAUGGAUUUAUUUCUAUUGCAAGUAGCAUAGCGUACAACCUGCCUGCACCGAUGCAGCUCAAUAUGCGAUAAUUUUUAUCUUCCCAUGUAAUUUUUCUACUCUAGUACAUAUUGAACUCCACAUUAAUGUCAUGUUCUUUGGCGCCCCAGACGGUUCCUAAAGUUUGGAAACAAAAUAGAUAGCCAGAAAUUUUUUUAAAAAAUAUUUAUAUGGAUAUUUGUAUGUUCUUUGCAAACUAACAAUAUUGUUUACCAAUAUCAAAAGGAAUAUGGCUAGGAGCCAUUGCCGCAUAUGGCAGGUGAUGGUAGAUGGCGUAUGGGAUUUCGUUAAUUUAAUGGUAUAAUAAGCUGAAAUACAUUUUCUAUUUGCAAAUGAAUCAUAGCUGAAAGUGGUGAGAUUGUUUUUUCGCCGGUUUAGCAUCCUGUGCACCGGUUCAACUGGAGGGAAGCGGUUCACCGAGACGGAUGACAAUUUUACGGCAGAAUCAUUACUUGUUUUAUUAUUAGGUGAAGAUUUUAGCUUUUAGGUAUCUCACAUUAACAAUCUGUUUCUAGUGUAUAAUGUAGGAGACCCGUAAAGAGUCUACACACACAUAUAUAUGUUGACUAUGAAUGUAAGUUUGUUGGUUUUAUGUAUGUUCAUUUGGAGUUUAUAUAAAUUUUACAUUUUAUAGUUUUGUGUAUAUGACGAAGAUCCAUGACUUGCAUUAAUUUAACCUUUCUUCCAACAACUCUUAUGCAUGCUGUUUCUAGGGGAGCGCACUGGUUGCAAUUUUGGUCCCCGAUAUAGCAUGAGGACUUAAGGGAGACGGGCACGUCGUAACCUUAGAUAUUUUUGCAAGAAGCAAAUUAUACUUUGCUUUUGAUUUUCUCCAUGCCAUUUGCUGACUCUUAUCCCUUUUAUUUAUCAUUAUAAGAUGAAAAUAUUGUAAAAACUUGGUUACGUGCGGUCGCAGAAGCUAGAGACUAUUUCUUUUUUUAAAAAUACGCAAGAGGGAGAAACUUGGUAACAGCUAGACAGUGAAGAUCGCAUUUCAUAAGAAAGAUGGUGCACGUUCUUGUUUGGCUGUUAACGAAAUGACUUCGUUUCACCACACCACCAGAGAGCCCCAUUGCACUUGCAGCAAAAGCGUGGAGCCGCUUUCAACCAGCGUGCAAUAAUGCAGUCCCGCGUGUCUUGGUCUUACAGGAUAUUUGGUUCUUUAGUCCGGACUAAAAUUCAUGUCGCAUAGAAUAUUCAGAUGUUAAAUAGGAGGACUAAACAUGAGCUAAUUAUAAAAAUAAUUACACAAAUGGAGGCUAAUUCCCAAGACAAAUCUAUUAAGUCUAAUUAAUCCAUCAUUAGCACAUGUUUACCGUAGCACCGUAUUGUCAAAUCAUGGACUAAUUAGGCUUAAUAAAUUCGUCUCGCAAGUUAGUCUCCAUCUAUACAAUUUGUUUUAUAAUUAGUCAAUGUUUAAUACUCUAUCUAAACAUUCAAUGUGACUGAAAUUUUAGGAGGUCCUAAAGAACCAAACACCCCUUAGUCUCCGCCUGAACUAUAGCAGGUGCUGGCAGCGGUAGCAGGGUCGUCCAUUAUAUCUAUGGAUGGAAAUGAUCUGAUUCGGAUGGAAUCGAAUUCGAAUAGCACUUUUUACCACAUACUAAUCUGAAUUGGAUGUUCUCGAAUGUGAAUGCAAAACGGAUAGUUCAAAUUUGAAUACUUUGCGGAUUUUUGCAUAAUAUUAAUCGAAGAGAAUUUGUUAAAUUUAGCCGAGACAUAAAUUUUUCUAAAUUCAAAUACUUUGCAGAUUUUCGAAUGCAAAUUUUUUCAUACGAUCUCGGUUGAAUACAAACUUUAUAUCAAAGUUGUAUAUUUAGAUUAUAUAUAAAACUUUGUAGUUGACCUCCUUUUCAUUUAAAAUUUUUUAAUAGCUCAAAACAUUAUUCUAAGCUUUCUAAUUUCAAAAUCUUGAAUUUUAAAUUUUUCAAACGACCUCGGAUGCAAACAAGCUCUAUAUCAAAGUGCUUAAUGAGAUAUAAAAUUUUGUAGUUGACAAGUUUUUUAGUUGAAAACAUUUAGUUAUCACAAACAUACAAGUUCUUCAUUUGAUGUCGAGGAUUGGAAGUGUUGAGUUUGAAGAAUAUAUUCUUUGAUUACAAACUUUUCCAUAUGAUCUUGGAUGAAUACGAACUUUAUUUCAAAGUUGCAAAUUUAGAUUAGACCAAAAACAGUAUAGUUUACAAUUUUUUCAUUCAAAAUUAUUUAGUAGCUCAAAAUGUUAUUCUAAACUCUCUAAUUUUGAAAUCUUGAAUUUUAAAAUUUUCAAAUGACCUCGGAUGCAAACAAGCUCUAUAUCGAAGUGGUAGUUCUUAAUGAGAUAUAAAAUUUUGUAGUUCCAUCUGAGAUCAUUUAACAGUCACAAAUAUACAAGUUUUUCAUAUGAUGCUAAGGAUCAGAAAGAUUAAGUUUGAAGGCUGUAUUUUUUUAAUACAAAUUUUUGCAUACGAUCUCGGAUGAAUACAAACUUUAUAUCAAAAUUGUAGAGCUCGAUGAGAAUUUAAACUUUGUAGUUGAUAUAUUUUUCAUUCGAGAAUGUUUAGUGGUCCAAACAUGUAUUAUAAGUUCAGAGAAGAAACACACAAUCGGCCACGUCAUCAAUUGACAACUUCCAAACUGAGCAUUCCUAUUGGUUCACACCUUUCCCUUUCAACUCGUCAAGCUUAUCUCCUCCCACUCCUCCAUCGUUCACUCCCCCUUCCCCUUCCUCUCUCCCUCCCUCCCUCCGCUCCAGCAGUGGCAGCCCGACCUGCCUCCUAGGACGGUGGUGUGCGGGGCUCGGGCAUCCCUGGCCUCUAGUGGCGUGGCAGGGCGGCCUCCAGCAGCGAUGGCGGAACUCGGCCUCCGGUGGCGCACAGGCAGCGCAGCCUACCUGGUCAAAGGCGGCGCAACAGGGCGACCUCCCCAGCCUCCGGCGGCGCGCAGGGCAUCCAUGACCUCCCCGGCCUCCCUUGCCAGAGGUGGUGCGCGGGGCUGCGCCGACCUCCCCAACCAGAGGUGGCAAGGCCCCAGCUUACGGCGGCGCGUGGCUCCCCAGCUAGGGUGUGGUGGGGCGGCGGCAAGUCAGGCGUGGCCGCGUGGGGGUGGGGGGAGGGGGUUGGGCUGGGCGGAUUCAGAUAGUAUCCAUUUAACCAUCCGAAAUGUGGAUAUCCGUUUAACAAUCCGUUUAGCAAAACCGAAUUUGGAUACUUCCACUUAAGUAUCCAACUAGGAUUCGAAUGCGGAUGGUCCUACCAUAUUGUUAUUUCAGCGGAUACGAAUAUGGGAUAAUUCGAAUAACGACUUACCCAUCCCUGAUUAUAUCCGUGUAAAUAAAUAAUUGCGGCAGCAGGUUCCCGUCGCCACGCCCCCGUCAAACCAAACAAUUGCUUGCGCGACACCGUGUUACUAGAUCUUGUACAGUACUCCCUCCGUUGCAGUACUCCCUAAUGAAAGUUGAGAAUCGAUCGACAACCACGGCUAGUUGCUAUGCACUCGAUCAGAUGGUCCAGGCGCCCGCUGGUAAUCAGGUCGUGGUUCACGCGCAUCAGGCCAGCUAUGACGUUGCCAGCAGUGCUCAGUACACAAAUCUAGCUAUCAGUCGGAUCCAAUUGGGCAGGCAUUUGCACUGUGGUUGUGUUUGAACCUGUAGAUGUCGUUGUCAUUAUCAGGCACCAUACAUCCUCUCUCAGAGGGUGUUUCACCCCCUAAACUUUAGCCCCUCUCACAUCGAAUGUUUUAGAUACUAAUUAGGAAUAUUAAACAUAGAAAAUUUACUAAACCCAUUACAUGGAUGGAGGGUAAACGGCGAGACAAAUCUAUUAAAUCUAAUUAGUCCAUGAUUUGACAAUGUGCUGCUAUAGUAACUAUUUGCUAAUGAUGGAUUAAUUAGACUUAAUAGAUUUUUCUUGCUGUUUAGCCUCCGUCUGUGCAAUUAGUUUUAUAAUUAAUUCAUAUUUAGUCCUCCUAAUUAGUCUCCGAAUAUUUGAUGUGACACGGACUAAACUUUAGAUAGCACACCAGGGACCGACACCAUGCAUGCUGAUUUCAUAUCAUAAUUAAGGAAAGUGAUAUCAUAAUUAAGGAAAGUGGUAGCAUCCAAGAAAUCGAUCAUGUUUCUUCCCCCUUUGGCUUUCCUACUAGGAUUUGGAUAGCGGGCCUUCCUACUAGGAUUUGGAAUCCGCUAUCGCAUGACUAUCUUAAUUAUGUCCCAUAGUCCAAAACUCACAAAACAUCAAAAAUCCAUCGAGAAUAAAUUAAGUAAAAAACAUGCGCACACAGAUAAUAAUAAUAAUAAUCAUGUUUCAAUAAAAUUGCUAAGAUUAGAGAUAGUACAUAAACAUAUUAGAUUGUUCGUGACACAUAUCAUGGUGGAUAGUGUCUGUGUCCUUAUUACAAGCAGCGAUAGAUGCUUGUCACCACACACACGCACGCACAGAUGCACGACAUACAUAUAGUUGAGACCAACGGAUGGACGUCCCAUAGGGUGAAUAAUUUAUUGGAGAUAAAUAUUAACAUAACUUGGCCAUAGCUUGAAGCAUAGCAACAUAUGCUUAUGAAUGGCAUUCAUGCGGGUAGCAAUGCUAUCAUAUGCUUUUAGGCUUGUCCUUAGCUUCUUCCAUCUUAUAGCAAACACUGCCAUUUCUUCCAUCUUAGCAGCAACUGUCAAAUUAAUUGAGAUAUGGAAAUCCCAUUAGCGCAUGAGUUAAUUUUGCAGUGGAAAUAGAGUAGAAGAUGUCUUCAUAAUGUAAGUAAUAUGACUCUGACAUAGGGAGUGAAGUCAACAAAUUACAUUAACGGAAAUGCAUGGAAGGCCACGCAUAUGUAUUAGUCCGAUAUGCUACAAAGCUUGUAUGUACAUAUAAUAAAUUAAAUGCAUUGAAUAGAGUGAUUUUAGUGAAUUUACCUAAAUCGGAUUAAAAAACAUGGGAAACAACAAGUGUUCUUGUAGGGCUUUGUUUAGUUCCCAAAUUGGGAGUAGCAAAGUUUGCAUUUUACCAUAAAUGCGCAACUAUAGCAUGUAGCAUUUUGUUUGUAUUUGUGAAUUAUUAUCCAAACAUUGACUAAUUAGGCUCAAAAGAUUCAUCUCGCAAAGUACAACAAAACUGUGCAAUUAGUUUUUGAUUUCGUCUACAUUUAGUACUCCGUGCAUGUACCGCAAGUUUGAUGUGAUGGGGAAUCUUGCUUUUCAAUAGUGACAAAGUUGGGAUUUCGGGGGGAAGGCCUGUGUCGGAGCCACAUGCAAGAAUGGCUGACAUUGAGGCUCAGACAAAGCCCAAUGGCAACUGCUGACAUGCGAUUAAAUUUAGAUAUCCACAUCCAGCCAUUCACAUUUAUGAGAUAUGGACACGGUGCAAAUGGGUGGGGUCCUGAUAUGGAGGUGCGAAUGGCUGUCUACUUGUAUAGUGUAGCUCCAAUGUACGUAUAUGUAUCUUAUGCAUGUAUACAGUUGCACAAACUCUGAACCAACUCUUCAUAACAGGUCUUUGUUACCAAGUAACUUUACUUUUGCACGUUUCAGCCGAGAGGUAGAAGAGAAUAUUUUUGCAUUUUCCAUGUGCGUCAGUGGUAGAGAACUAGGAAUUAGUUCCGGAUGGUAGGGCACAAAUCUUCCAAACAACUAUCCGAAAUUAAGCAAUCGAGAUAAAGGGUGCCAUCUAUUCUCUCCGAAAAACACAGGUACCAAAAAGAAGAAGAGAAGAGGGAGGGCCUCCCGUUAAGGCCCGCUCGGGGUCUCCAUCCCACCACGCGCCCUCCCAACCCAAAGCCCAUCGUUUUCCCUCCGUCCCUCCCCUCUCCAUUGCCGCCGCCGCUCCCCUCAUCCGAGCUCGAUACGGGUGGUCGGCGGCCCCUCCUCUCCGCUCCCGCCCCCGGCCUCCCUUUGACCGCCGGGCGCCGGCAUCACUGCCGCGGCCAACCCCAGGGCGCAGCGCGUGCCUCUAUUUCUCUCCCCCGUUCAAGGGCCCUUUGAUGGCGACGAGCACCCACCCACCAGGUAUGCCCUCCCCUUCUCUUCCUAACCCUAAUAUAUUCGGAUCUCACCCAGUCACAAUAUAUUACCUAAUAGCUUCGAUUUUGUUUGCAAAAAUCAUCACGUGCGCACCCAUGUCCGCUAGAUUCUUGCGCCUGAUCCUGUGCUGCUAUGGUUUGGGCGGGGUAGACUAGUUGAUUCGUGCACUUUUGGGUGCUUGUAGUGCUAGGUUUUGGAGGGGGAUAGCCCAGUUGAUUCCUCCGUUUUGGGUGCUCAUGGUGAUAGGAUUUGGAUGGGGAUAGCCCCAAUGAUUCGUGCGCCUUUGGGUGCUGGGGAUAGUUUUGGGUGCCUGGAUAGUCCAGUUUCAAUGUCAGUAUAUGCGUAUUUUGGGGAGAAUUUUGUUUUGGGUGGUUCUGGUGCUAGAGUUUCUGAUGCUUAGUAGCCCAGUUUCAAUCAAAUUCCCCCAUGGGUCGUGCACUACGGGAAACAAGAAAAUUGCCGAGUGUAUUUUUUUUGUCGAGUGUUUUUUUUCGAGCACUCAGCAAACAAGCUCUUCGCCGAGUGCCAAGUCAAAAACACUCGGCAAAAAAAAACACUCGGCAAAUCGGGGCUUUGCCGAGUGUCAAAUAAAAAACACUCGGCAAAGAAGGGGGUUUGCCGAGUGUUAAAAAAAACACUCGGCAAACAGGAGGGUUUGCCUAGUGUUUUUUUGACACUCGGCAAAAAAAUAAUUGUUUUUCCUCUUUUCACCUUGAAAUUUUUUCUACUCCCCACAUACAACACGUGGUACUCCAUGUUAAAAUUUGGUAUAUUUUUGGAUUUAUUUGCUAUAUUUAUUUAAUUAAUUGCAUUACAAGGAAAUUUUUGGUAUAAGUCAAAUUUGAACUGCAAGUGAUUCAAAUUGUGGAACAAAAUGAGUAGAAAAAUGAUAUUCAUGUUAUUUGGCUCAAUUUGAGACCUGACCCAUGAAAUGAAAAGAAAUUUCGAACAUCUUGUUCAGGAAACACGACAAUGAACAUGUGGCGGUAGUAUUUUUAAAUUGUAAAAAAAACAAGCAAAGUCUGAAAAUCAUGAGAUUUGUAGUUAUGUGAUGAUAUAAUACGUGGAAGCUGUGGAAAAAAAUUGGAAAGGUUUUGCACAUUUCAUCAUGUACGAUGAUUACAAACCGAAGCAUAUCAGAAGAAGAAUAGUAACUUUGAGAAGGAUUCGAUAAAAUUUAGAGUCGAAGUGACGGUCGAGUUCGGUUUGACUACAAAACUUUUUGUAUAGUCAGUAGAGAACAUAUCUUAUUUCGUGUGAAAAUUUGGUAUUUUUUGAAACUGUUGGAUAUUUUUAAUUUUUUUUUAAAAAAACUUUGCCGAGUGUCCUAGGGUAGACACUCGGCAAAGAAAAACUUUACCGAGUGCCCGCCUAGGACACUCAGCGAACCUUUUUUUAAACCUACCGGCUCCGGCCGGCCCAGCCCACAAACACCACCCGCCCCCCGCCCCCGCGCCUUCUUCCUCACGCCGCCCCCGCCCCCCACCCGUGCCUCCGGACCGCCCCCUCCUCCCCCUGGCCUCCCCUCACGCCGCCCCCCUCCUCCCCUAGCUCCCUCCACCGGCGGCCCUCCCUCCCCCGGCGCACAUCCUCCACUCCUCCUCCCCUUCCCUUCCCUCCCCUCCCCUCCCCUCUUCCUCCCCUGGCCGGAUCUGGCGCCCCUAGCUCCCCUUUCUUCCGCGGCCAGAUCUGGCGCCCUCCCGGCGGCGGGUCGUGGCGAUCGGGGCGGCGGCGGCGGAUCAGGCCGCGGGGCGGCGGCGGCGGCGGGUCGUGGCUACCGGGGCGGCGCCCUGCCCCUCCCCUCCCUCUCCAUCUCCGGCUGCCGUCCACCCCCUCCCCGGAUCCGCCCCCCUCCCCUCCGCGCGGCCAGCCCCUCCUCCCUCUCCGGCCGCCGCCCCGGCCCCUCCUCUCCCUUUCUCCGGCCACCGCCCCGCCCAUCUUCUCUGGAUCCGGCCGGAUCCGGCCGCCGCACAGCCCCUCCUCCCCGGAUCCGGUGGGCGCGGACUUCGUGGUGGUGGCGCCGGAUCCCUCCCCUCCCUCUCCAGAUAACUCCCUCCACUCCUCCGCUCUUCCCCUCUCUCGCGCGGCGGCCUCUCUCCGGCCGCCGCCCCGCCCCUCUCCCCGGAUCCGGGGGGGGGGGGACUCCGCCCCUCUGCCCCGGAUCCAGCUCCCCGACCCGCGAGUGGGGCGAGCUUGCUCAUGCGGUCGACGUCGAGGCCAGGGUGUGGUGGAGGUGGUGGCCGGCGGGUGUGGUGGUGGUGGCGGCGGCGGGCAUGGCGGCGCGGAGGCAAGGCACGGCGGCCGGUGGGAGGCACGGGUGCAAGGCGUCGACGGCAGGAGGCAAGGCACGGCAGCAUGGGAGGUGGUGCUGUGGUGGUGGUGCUGGCGGUGGUGGCGGCGGCGGAGCAGGAUGUGGUGGUGGCGGAGGAUGUUUUUUUUUCAAAAAUUUGUUGCCGAGUGUUUUCUCGGCACUCGGCAAAGACUUUACCGAGUGCCCGACACAAAACACUCGGCAACUCAGUGUUUGCCGACUGAAAAAUUGCCGUGUGCCGUUUGCCGAGUGUUACACUCGGCAAACGGUUCGCCGAGGGUUUUUUGCCCUUCGCCGAGUGCCCCUAGCACUCGGCAAUUUCACUAUCUCCCGUAGUGGUGGCUGGACUUAUGGGGGGAUCAUUGAUGGGGGACUAGUUGGAUACUUUUUGGCUGUUUUGGGAGUCCUUGGCAGCGGCUUCUCAGGGCGUACGUAGCCCAUUGUAGAUUCCAGCCGAGAAGAUUAAGGAAUUGUGACUGCAACCAUGUUACUUUUCUAGGACUCUGUUUCUGAUAUUGUUCCCGCUGCAUCUUUUCAUCCCCAUGGUGAAUGUUGCUGUUGAUCUGUAGAUUGGAUUUGUUCCUCGGUAGCUUUAUUAGAUUUGUGCUGAAUGAUAAUCUCUGCCUGUGAUAUUUUUCUUCAUUGCGGAUGUGUGCCGAGUAUUAUCCCCUUUGUUCAUUCUGUUGGCUUUUUUUAUUGUCUCUGUACUCGGCUGUUCAGCUUGUGCAGCUAAUGAUCUAAUGUAUUUUGUCGUAACUAUGUAUUUUUCGGAUGUGUGCCGAGUAUUAUCCCCUUUGUUUAUUCUGUUGGCUUGCUUUCAUUGAUCUUAAGAUAACUGGUGCUAUAAAUUCACACUAGCUGAUGCACUUGCAAAUAGCUAUGUAAAUAUGAAAAGAAGUAUUUUUUUAUCCUUUUGUUUGUUUGGCAUCAUAUCUGUUUAAAUGGCAUAGCAAUAAGAAUUUUUUGUUUUUGGGGAAUCAUAUCUGCUUAAAUGGUAUAGAAAAUGCUGAGUGCACUGUCAAAUAGAUUUUCCAGCAGUCUGCUUUCAGUUGUUUUUGCAAAUCCUCACAGGCCAGUGAACUGACUUUGUUUUUACCACCCCAUGCCAUUUAAAUGACUAAAUCAGUCAGCCUAAUACUAUAUAUGGUCAUGCUAUGAUCUUAUUUCUUGAAGCUCUAUAGGUCAACCCAUAAGGGUAACUUAGUUUUUCCUAUUCUGGCUGGGGAAGUGGAUACGAUGGCUAUCCUUGGUAGAGUUAAAUACAUUGGCGGCUCUUAGCGCGCCAAUGUGGCACCACAAUAUCGAACAUAUGUAGAAACCCCCUUGUUUUUUCUCAUAUCCCUCUCUCUCAGCGUCCUCUUCUCUUCUUCUCCUCUGUCUCCUCCCCUCCCAUCGCGUGCUUUAUUGCGCCGCCGCCAUCCGCCUCCAUGUAUGAACACGUCGUUUGUCAUGAAGAAGCAGUUGAUGAGGCAAUCAAGCAUGUGGUGCACAAGGUUCUUCUGCUGGCCAAGUCCGAGUCGAACAGCCGCGCAUUCAUUGGGGAAGCACGCGCCAGGCAUCACCAGGCUCCUCGUGCCCCUACUCUGCUCCAAGGACUCGGUGCUUCGACGCGCUGCUUUCCCUGUCCGGCGAGCGGGGAUCGUUGGGAGAUGAUCGAUGGAGGAUGGAGCUGAUCCUCCUGUACACGGUGCCGGUGGGGAGCAGGGAGCUGCGGAGCAGGUCCACGGGCGGCGCCAUUACAGCAGGUGCAGGCUAAGGGUAAUGAGCAGAUCGAGGCGAUGGAGGAGGACCCGCACGAGGUGCAGCUUCUUCGCCUCCUGCGCAAAGUCAGCGCCCAAGCAGCCGCUGAGGGACAGGCCGAGGCUUAGCUCGAUCUCAUCCGACUAAAUGGUGGCUGCACUCCCACAGUCCCACUGGUGCUCCUCCCUUCUGUCCGAACCUGCCGAGGAAAUCCCUCGAUGCCAUGGGUCCCGGCUGGACGACUACUCCUCCCACAGAUUGACUGAGGAAGAAGAGCUUCUCAGUGUCCAAAAAUUCAGUUACACUGGAAACAGCAACCAAUUACGUUCUUCCGGCUCAGCCAAGCCCCAAUCUCCUUGCUUCUGUGCGCCCCUGCUAAAUAUUCCAGAAACCAAUCUGGUUAGUUGUUUUUUCACAUUUUCAGUGCAUGCCGGUGCUGCUGUGUGCGGCAUGCAUGGAGUUGUCGUGGGAGUGCACGGUGGCUUAGCUGGUGCGCCAGUGCGCGGGCACGAACACAACGGUGAAGAUGGCAGGGCCAUCUCAAAGCUCCUGAGCACCUGCACGCGUCGCUGAGCAGGACAUGCUGCGACGGUGGGCGAGCGCUGCUAACGCCCUGGGGAAGAGCAGUGGGUGCAGAGAGAGGGAGCGAGGGAGAGGGGUUCUUGUAUAUGUUUGCUAGCGUGGCACCGUUUACGGUGCCCGCCUAAGUGGCAUUCACGUGUCAUUCAUCCCAAAUGGUGUUGCAAGGUUGAACCUAUUGUGGGAGGCUUUUGGUUUCCCUUGACAGUAUCACCAGUGAUAUCACUGCGUUCUGGUUAUGUAUGAAACACUUGUCCUUUUAAAACCUUUCUGAAUUUAGAAACGAAUUUGAAACAUUACCCUCAUUUCCAUGUUUUUCUAUCUUUUGUCCCUGUAAAAUCAAACUAAAUUUGAAUUAUUAUGUUCAGAACUACAAGCUGAUUUACUUGUCCCAUUUGCUAAUAACAGGGCCUUGUGAUUUCUAAUGAACAUUGCAGAGCAUGUUAUAAAGCGUAUGCAUGAACACCAAGGGGAUGAAACCAUUGGUAUAUUUCUCACAACCUUUUGAACUUAUCAUUUAGCAUAUUUGUGUUCUAGUGUGACGUUUCAGCCACGAGACAUGAGAAAUGUUAGCUAUGGAUUUUGGUUAUUCAUCAUGGGUUCACAGAUUUGUUUUUCUCUAAAAGAAUUGGGAAGUAGCUUUCUUUCUGGGUAUAUGUGGGGAAAUGCAUAUGCAAUCUUUUAUUUAUUGAGGUGACUGUAAAAUUCUUGUCUGACUGAAUAUGCGAUUUCAACCUACAUGCUAUACUUAGGGAAAUUUGUGAAUCUCCUAAUGUCUGCUGCAUGGCAUGAAUGCAUAUUUUACUGGUCCAUAAUGUGAAGUUCUGUAUAUAAACUUCUCGUGUUGACCCUUUAGAACAUGCUAACUGGAGAGUUUUCUAGAGUAGUUAAACAAGAGAUUUAGUUAAAUCUGCACACAUAGGUGGGGCCUGGCAUACCCUAAGAAUCGGCCUAGCCGGUCAGCCCAUUAGUAAAAAAAAAAGCACCGCAGUCAGCAGUCCCCACGUUGGUCUUCCUCGAGUCGCGACUCGCGAAGCUCCCAUCCUCCGAGUCCAAGAUGGUGGACUGUGUCGAGCGCGGGGCGGGCGAUUAGUUGCCCGGCCGCCGGCGGGGGAUGGCCGGACGGCCAGAUCGCCGACUCCUCUAGUCCUCCCUCCAGCCUCUGCGCUUCUUUCACAGUGGAGCUAGCGGCGAGGCGCCCGACCGACACCCUUCUUCCCAAAUCCCGGCAGCCCUACCUCGAUUUGGCCUCCUCCGAUCAUUUGAUAAUCAAUUUGAUGAAAUUAAUAUGGAGUUGCUUUCUUGUAUGGUUGCCUUCAAUCCUGCUAAUUCAUUUGCUUCAUUUGAUGCACAAAAGAUACAUAGACUUGCUAUAUUUUUAUCCACAAGACAUCACAAGCACGGAUUUGCUAAAACUUGAAUUCCAGCUCGAUAUUAUAUUGAUGAUGUGAGAUAGGAUGAUAGUUUCAAAGGCCUACAAGAUCUUGUUAACUGAGACUCAGUUAAGCUUGUUGAAACAAACAGGCAUAAUAUUUAUGACUUGGUUUACUUGCUUCUCAAAUUGGUAUUGGUUCUUCUUGUGGCGACAGCUAGUGUUGAAAGGGAUUUUUGUGCAAUGACUUUGAUCAAGAGUAAGCUAAGAAAUAAGAUGGGUGAUAGUCUUUUGGAUGAUUGUCUUAUCACAUUCAUUGAGAAAGAUAUUUUCUUUGAAGUGGAUGAAGAAGAUAUAAUUAAGACUUCAUAUCCAUUAGAAAUCGUAGGCUGGAGAAGAAGUAAUAUUUUAAUUUUCUUUGAACGUUAGGUCUGUAAGCUUCUUUUAAACUAUCUACAUUAUAAUUUAUGGACCUUUUAAUUUAACCGUUGAAUUCAUGAUAUUAUGAGAUUUUUUUAUCUAUGUUAUUAUUGUUUACCGAUUUAUUACCAAAUUAUUAGUUUGAUCUUACAAUAUUGUAUUUUGGAUGAUUGGCUCGGCAUACUCUAAGUUUAAAUCCUAGCUCCGCCACUGUUUGCACAUUAAUGUGGCUUAUAUGUGUGGAGUCACUUAACCUAUGCACUUGGACCUCCACUCCCUUAGGUUUUAUGAACCUAAUUUGACAGCCUGCUCGUCUUUUAUUUUCUACCAAUCAGCUAGGAACGAACAUGGUGAUGUUUGCAUCUCUGCCAUCAAUGGCUUACAUGUCAUUAUGUAUCACAUUAGCAAGUCUUGUUUUGUUAUUGGCUGGGAUGACGGGGACUCUAGCUGGAAUUGAAUCAAAGUGGUAGAUCACAGGGUAUUCAUUGCCAUGUAUUUCUGCAGUUGCAUGGACUUGCAUCAAACGGACCUUCCUACUUAUGUGAUUGUCCUAUAUGAUCUCCUUUGAUUUCAUUUGCACACUGUAAUCACAUUAGCUAGAACACUCGCUUUUUGCUUCAAAUUUGAAAUUCAUAUCAUGAUGGACUAGAACGCUGAAUUUCUUGAUUGCUGAGUUACUAAUCACAUUGUGGCGCUGCCAAAGAAGCUGGACUCUUCAUUGUUGUUGCCUUGUGGGCUGCCGUGUGCAAAGAACAAGAGCGCACGGUAUUAUAAUAGCAGAGCAGAACACAGACAAGCGACAAGGAGCGGAGCAGAGCAGAGCACAGCCAGGCACAAGCAGUAGAGUAGAGCAGAGCAACCGGGAGAGGAGAGGGCACAUAUGCAGAGUAGAGCAGAGCCAAGCGCAAGCAUUCAUGCACUCAAGCAUGCAGCAGAGGUGUAGCAAGGCAAGCACAAGCAGCAGAGCAGAGGGAAGGGAAGGCUGGGAGAUGAAUAGGCGAAUAGUUACCUGGACAGAGCAGAGGGAAUGGAGAUGAUGCAGAUGCUUCCGGAGACUCGAGAUUUGGAGAGGAACAAGGCCACGUUGUGAACAAGGUCUCCUUUCUCUUCUCUAUUUCCCGCGCAAGUACUUGUGCAUAGUGGCUGCCUCAUCCUCCAGGACGUCCACUUCAACCUGAGGCGGGUGCCACAGACAUCCUGGCUAUGCGACGGCUACCCCCAGCACACCCCCGGCGCCUAUGAACCAUGAUCCUAAUACUAUAAAUUGUCAACCUUGUAAUCUUAUUUCAAGCAUGCUCUCUAUGUCAACCUGUAAGGUUAACUUCGUUUUUCCUUUUCUGGGUAGGGGAGUGGAUAUUGCUGUUAUUUAUAUUAUGUUGAUAUUGGUUUCCACAUGUCAUUCACCCCAAAUGUGUUGCAAGGUUGAACCUAUCAUCGGAGGAAUUUUUUUCCCUUUACCUUUAUAUCACUACGCUCUGGUUAUGUAUGAAACACUUGUCUUCUUAAAAACCUUAAUUUAGAAACAAAUUUGAAACACUAUCUUCAUUUACAUCCUGUAUGUGUUUUCUACCUUUUGUCCUAUAUGAUCUGCUUUGAUUUGAUUUGUGCAUAGUUUUUUCAAUUCAGACCUGGUGAUUUCUGAGGUUCAUGUUGUGCUGAUAAGCAGCCUACUAUUCAGUAACACUUUCAUGUGGCAUGUUCAUGUUAGCUAGCUAGAAACACUGCUUUUAGCUUCAAAAUUCAAAUUCAUGACAUGAUGGACAUUGACAAUGAAUUUCUUGAUUGCCGAGCUAUGUACACUGUAAUUCAGACCUGGUGCUUUUAGUUUUUUUCUUGAUUGCCGAGCUAGAAACACUGUGCUUUUAGUUUUUUCAAUUCAGACCUGGUGAUUUCGGUUUUUUCAAUUCAGACCUGGUGAUUUCUGAGGUUCACGUGUCACACCGAUUUUAAGAACAAAAUCGAGUGCAUUAAAUAUACAUGUACGCUAGGAUCAGGUUACACACAUGUACGACAUAAGCGAAUAUCAAAGACAAUGCCAUAACGAAAUAAAGAGAGUAUUAAUCAUUAUUACAUGACCGAAAGUCUCAAAUAAACCACAAAAUCUAUUUAUUACAUAGCGGAACUUCUAAGAUAGCAACGUCUCCACAGGCAGCUGACUGAAGAACUGUAUGCCUAGAACUCUUCAAAAUCGUGCAGGUACUCCUCCAGAUUAGCUUGGUAUGAACAACGGUUUUGCAAGGGUGAGUACACUUAUGGUUGGUACUUAAUAAGUCGUGGGAAACAAUGUAGUGUAAGGCAAAUCAAGGUAUGGCUAAGGCUUAAACAGCAUCAGCUUUUAAUUUAGUUGGUCAAAUUUUAUUAGCAAUUAAUUAGACGUAAAUUUAUACCACCCGAAAUUAAACAAGAACAUGAAUAAAAUAAUAACAUAACCAUAAAUGAAAUGACAACAAUUUAAAUCCAUCUUUUCAUAGCAUUAUCAUGUGAGGGUCCAGUCCGUUCUUAACCGUGAGCACCGCUGAUCGAUCAGUUUUACACUCUGCAGAGGUUGUACAUCUUUACCCACAAGUCGCGUAAAAGUUCAAAAGAAUUUUGGACCCAACCAUGCGGUAUUUGCAAGGCACCAUACCACACUUCCAAGGUGUGAUUGCAUAUGAACGCUACGAGGCCUUUACAAAGAUUCAUUAGUAAGUGGUAACCCGCUAAGGUUUCGGUAUUUGGCGUGCACAACCUAUCACAGGCCGCUAAUGCAACGACUCAGUCCCCCCUCUUGCCUCAUCACGAGUAAGAUUACCCCAGACUAAGGUUUCUAAUUAUUCAGCCAAGAUCAGAACCAUUUAGUCUUGUGGUAGCACUGUUUUCCUGGGUGGUUCUCCAUGUUCCGAUUAAACAUAAUGGUCUUGUAUUAAUGGAAGGUAUAACAUAAAUAAUACCAAAUUAAUAAUAAUUCAGAUUAAAUCACCAUAACCAUAUUUGAGCACUAAGCAUGAGCUACCCAACAUAAAUUUAACCCGGUUGGUCAAGGCAAGGUAGAUAAAGUCUAGGAAAUUCUUAAUUGGGACCCAUCAAGUUUAAAUUAUACUUUGCAUGGUAUGUUGCAUAGAACAUGAAAGUAAAUGUGAAUAGGACUGAAAAGGAGUGAUUAGGGACACGACUUGCCUUUUUAACCUUGUUCUUGCUGUUCGUACUCUUCGAAAACUUUGAUCUUCAAAUCCCUUGAACUGCUGACCGUCUACACGCGUCACACGACCACAUACAAGCAAACAAAUAUAAUACAUAAGAAAACAGUACACCAAUCAUAAUUAAAUAGAAGAAACAAAUUUGAAAAGCUAUUCUACGCAUUAAAACGAAAACACGGAUACAAGGAACGUUAAAAACGGAGCUACAGUGCAAAAACUACGCUUAAAACAAGAUGCAGGGGUAUAACUACGAGAAACCAAACUUCCAGGGAUUUAAUUUUAAAUAAUUUUGAACUGCAGAAGGGGCAGCAGGGCAAAACGUAGAAAAUGCAGGGGCUUAAGCGCAAAAGCAUGGCUGCUGACUCAGCUGACUUGAUGUGGAUCGUCGGAUGGCGAUCCGGCGGCCGGCAGCUGCUGCGCUGACGUCAGCGACGGCGAGCGCCGGCGAAAAACGGCAGUUCGCCGGAAUCGCCCGGGAACGCGCGACUGGGUGCAGAUUUGAGCGAGGAUUAGACUAGCAGAUAGAAACGAGCGCAGUGAACUCAUUUGGGAUGCCUACGGCGAGGACUUGGCGACGGCAUCGGCUCCGGCGAGAACUUGCGGCAGGGAAACCAAAUAAAAUAAAAUAACACGGUUCAGAGAAGCGGCGCUGGAGGAACGCGAGCGAUUUUGCGUGCGAGCGGAAGAAAACACUGCGAGGAAGAUGACUGCGGGCCCUGCUUGUCUGCGGCAGGAGGAGAGCUGCGUGCGAGAAGAACCUGGCCACGAUCUGGGCCGUUGCCUUCGAUCUGGGCCGAGGCAAGCUAGCUGGCCCGCUGCUGCGGAAAGGUGCUGGGCCACGGGCGGAGCACAGCGUCGGGCCAGAAAGGAGAUGGCUGCUGCGAGGAAACAAAAGAAAAUGAACUGGGCUGCGACAGAGGAAAACUGGGCGUCGGCCAGAAAGAAGCUGCGUGCAGCUUGCUCUUGUUUCCGAACUAGAAACAGGAACUGACGGAAAGACAGAAAUCAAUUGGAGACUGAAACUGACGCCCCAGACUCUGAACUUCGAAAAAACAGGACAACCAGCCAACUGACAGAAAAAAAAAAGCUUAACAACCCAAAAGCAGUACACAACCACGAAACCAGGCCACAAGACUGAAAAAGCUUGAUAGGAACAUCUGGCGACUGAACCAAAAAACUACAGAACUGCAACUGAAGAACUAGAGAACAGAUAAAUAACUGAUUGAACUCUGAAACUGAAACACCAAAGAGCAGGAAGCUGACUGACGGAAAAUGCAAAACAGCAACCCAAGGUGAAACACAAAUUCUUCUUCAAGCAUUCAAACAAAGAGAUAUGCAACAGCAUGAAUGCUCAAUAAAAUCCUAUAUUUCAUUAAUUAAUUAGAAAAAAUGCUCAAAUGCCUAGAAAAAUGCAAAAGUGACCUUAUAUGCCUUAAACAAGCAAAUUCGUUUCUAGCGAUUUUUGGUAAAAUGCAAAAUUAGAGAUUUUGGGUGUUACAUCAUGUUGUGCUGAUAAGCAGCCUACUAUUCAGUAACACUUUCAUGUGGCAUGUUCAUGUUAGCUAGCUAGAAACACUGUGCUUUUAGCUUCAAAAUUAAAUUCAUGACAUGAUGGACAUUGACAAUGAAUUUCUUGAUUGCCGAGCUAUGUACACUGUAAUCACAUUGUGGGGCUGAUAAAAUAAGCAGCGUUGAGACACAUAACAAUUGAAUCUUAAGCUUCACACAGAAUCUGGACCAGUCAUCCUCAUUCCUGUCAUGCUGGAAAUGUCUUUGAUACAUUUCAAUCACAGGCAAUUGAAUUCGUACUGGGGAGGAUGGCAAUGGUGCAUGAAGAGAGAUCAAUGUGGCAAAUCUCACAUUGUUCAUUACCAGGUAUCUCCGAUUUCUGGUUAUUUUAAAUUUACCUUGACAUGUGACUUAUUGAGGUAUUGUAUUUCAUCUAAUGGUAGUUCUGAAUUUAUGGUAACCUUGGAUGGGGUUUGUCACUUUAUACACGCACGGACUUACAAAGGACAGCAAAUGAGUAUAUUUAGAGGGCUCCUGUCCAACCAUGGACUAUACUUAUGUACCCUUUUUUGACAUGGUAAUUUGAGGUUAAUGGAAAAGUAGCGAUAGUCGCCUCCAGCGAAGCUACCUUCUUCGAAAGCUCCGAGGCUGCUUUCUCGCUCUUAGCAAGCCGAUCCCUCGUAAUCAUCGAAGAGUAAGAGACCUACAGAUUUUAAAAACCAAGUUACCAAAAAUAACGAAGUAAAAGACAACACUCGCAAGACAAACCACCAAACUAUCUCAUAAUUGUACCUUCUUUACGAGGUUCGCCUCCAAGUUAAAGAGCUCUUCCAAGAUCAUUGACUUCACAGCUUGCUGAAAAUCUAUGCGCCAAAGGAUAUAGUCGUAAGCAUAAAAUAAAAAUUGGUAAAAACCAAGGACAGCAAAGCCAUCUACAAGCUGUUCUUACCCUCAUACUUUCGCACCUCAACGGCGAUCGGAACAACCUUCUCUCUAGCCUCGCCCUUAGACGCCACCACAAUCUUCCCGCCACACAAAUCCACAACCCCUCCUUUACCUUUGCCCUCUCCCGAAGUCGUCGUGCCCGCCUUCUCCACCCUUUUUGAACCGCCAACAUCUGCAUAGCGCUCGCAACCUUCACCUUCAGCCCCCCAGACCAAAGACAGGUUGUGAGGAUUAUAAACCCUACCUUCGGCGCAUGUAGCUAGAAUCUCCGUGCGCCCGCUCAAGCCCAGACACUCAUUCAGUCCCUGAAGCCCCGCCGGCAACCUCUCACCUACAUCAUAACAUUCAACUUUUAGCCUCACAUGAUCCUCACAACUAACCUUACCAACGCCCCCCAUAGUUUCUUCCAAGUCCUUCAAAAAUUUCGUUGAGGCCUCACCACAAUCAAAGAACCGUAGCAUCGAUAGAAACACCUCUACAUGCUUACCAGAUCUCACAGCUUCGGCACACCCACCCUUUGGAUCAGAUGAGAACGCAUCCACAAGCUUCGCCUUUUCGGUGGCAAACCCCCUCUCAAGUUUCCCAACAUCAGUCAAGAGAUGUUGCGCGCUCUUAAACUUCGAGCUUAUGGAAGGCACCGUGAUCUUGGUACCAGCUGCCGAAGACGCGUCAACCUUGGCACCCGUAACAGUAACAGGAGCAAAUCGAGGUUUCUUGGCGCCUCUUUUGAUCCGUGCGGCGGGCCCGGUGGAUGAAGGUGCAAGAGCUGGAACCUCCUUAGGAGGGCGCAUAGAGACAGGAACAACAUAUGCCGGAUUGCUCAAGUCGCCAGACGAAGCUGUCGACCACGAUGGCAACAUAGCAGACGAAGCCCCCGCGGUCAUUUCCUUCCUUUUUUGCGCCUCCAAAUUCAAGGUCUUUUGCUUCGCCUUAGCGGUCACUUGCAAUUCAAUAGUGAGCUUCACCAUGGGUACGAAGUCAAAUUUUGCCUUUUUCCUCUGCUCAAGACUAGCACCGCGACGGCGCCUCUUGCCCGUAACUUUGGGGUGAGGCAGAACCACAAUAUCAUACAAGUCAAAAAUCUAAGAUGAUGACAUUCCAUUUGUAUCCAUGAUUUAUAUUGUGUUCCUUGAAUAUCCAUUAAAGUCUACUUGAAUUGAUUUGCAAUUAUGUGAAUUGUAUGUGAAACUCUUUCCUUGUAUGGUUAUUCUAAAGUUGUCCCUAGUCGGAGUUCAUGUGAGGACACAUGAAUAUUAGACUAGCACAUGUAUUAGUUGAUGACUAUGUUUCACAAGUCAUGGACAUGAAGAUGUGGAACUAAUAAUGUGGGCACAUGUGGAGACACGUGCUAGGACUGACCCAACACGAGAAGUAGUUCUCUCUUUAUACAACAUAUACGCUUUGUCCUUAGACCUGAGAUUGUCGCAUGUACUCAAGAUGUGGAUCGACUUACUUAGGGGCUAUCAAAUUCUACGCCGUAACAGGGUAGUUAUAAAGGUAGCUUUCGGGUUUGUCAAGAAGCAUGCUAUGAGACAUGGUCAAUCAAGAUGGGAUUUGCCCCUCUCUGAUUGAGAGUGAUAUCUCUGGGCCCCUCGAGUGAUCGGAUCCGAAAAUGCAUGGCCAUGCUACAUACGAUUAAGAGUUAGCCUACAAAAGGAUUCCGAAUCAUAGGAUCGAGAAAGAGCGGUCGGCUUGAAGCUAGACCAAAUAUCGUGAGGCAAAGGGAAUAGCAUGUAUAUAAUGUUGUGAUGGUUCGUCUGAUAUGAUCUUCGUGUGCGUAUAGGAGUUGGCACGUCUUGCUAGAGGUCGCUACCGACUAUUGGGCCGAGUAGGAGUACUCAGGCCAUGUCUAUACGUAUCCGAACCCAUAGGGUCACACACUUAAGGGGCUGGAAGCCCAAUUCGGAUGUGAUCCGAAUUGGAUUAGGUUUAGAAGUACUAAUGGGCCUUGGACCUAGAGGCCCGUUAGGAACCUCUAUAAAUAGAGGGGUGGGGGCGCCCUAGGGUUUACACCUUUUUGGUGAAACACAUCUGCCGCGCCUCCCACGCCUUCGCCUGUUGCAACUCGCGGACCUAGCAGUCCGGCUUGCGACGCUUCCUCCCUGCACGUGUGGAUACCUUGGAAGUGUUGCUCCUGCAGCACUUGGACGAGCCGCCAACGAGCCACGACGAGCCACGAUGAGCCGACGAUGAGCCGCGGCACGAGGGGGAUCUUGCUGCACGUGGACGAGCUGCUGAGGAGCUGCUGGACGUCGAUGUGUUCGACUACGUACGACUACGCUGAUCGACUUCGCUGCAUCAACGCGAAUCUACAUCUUCCGCAUCAUUGCAUCGAGUGGUAAUCCCGUGAUCCUGAUACGGCAGUUUUCCUAGUUUACGCGGUAGAAAAUUUUGUUUUGUGCUAGUGUAGCCUAACUCAUAUCCCAACAACGUGUGCUAUAGGUCACGCAAGCCUGAAAAUGGCCACACCGGACACCGGGUACGAAAACAUGGGGGAUGGACCGAACAUUUGAAAAUGGCCUCCAUAUGUGUUUUCGGCUAUGAAAAUGUGUGUUAUAGGUCACAGAAGCUUGAAAACGGCCGCACCAGCCACUAGGGACGAAAACGUGGGGGAUGGACCAAAGACAUAAAAAAUAGCCUCCAGACGCGUGUUCGGCCAUGAAAACGUGUGGUAUAGGUCCUGGAAGGCCAAAAACAGCUACACCGGCCACCUGGGACGAAAAAGUUUGUGUAAGACCGAACACUUGAAAAUAGCCUCUGGACGCGUGUUCGGCUAUGAAAAGGUGUGUUAUAGGUCACACGAGCCCCAAAACAACCACAGCGAACACCAGCUACAAAAACAUGGGGGAUGGAUCGAAUAAUUGAAAAUGGCCUCCAGACGUUUGUUCGGCCAUGAAAUCGUGCGUUAUAGGUCGCGGGAGCCCGAAAACGGCCACACCGGCCACCGGGAAUGAAAAUGUGGGGGAUGGACCGAACAAUUAAAAAUGGCCUCCGGAUGUGUGUUCGGCCAUGAAAACGUAUGUUAUAGGUCACGGGAGCAUGAAAACGGCCGCACUGGCCACUGGGGACGAAACGUGGGGGAUGGACCGAAGACGUGAAAAUAGCCUCCAGACGCAUGUUCGGCCAUGAAAAUGUGUGCUAUAGGUCAUGCAAGGCCAAAAACAGCUGCACCAGCAACCGGGGACGAAACCAUGGCUGUCAAACCGAACGCUUGAAAAUCGCCUUCGGACGCGUGUUCGGAUAUGAAAACAUGUGUUGUAGGUCACGCGUGCCCGAAAACGUCCACAACGGACACCGGGUACAAAAACGUGGGGGAUGGAUCGAAUAACUGAAAAUGACCUCCGAACGCGUGUUCGGCCAUGAAAACGUGUGUUAUAGGUUGCGGGAGCCCAAAAAUGGCCACACCGGCCACCGAGGAUCAAAACGUGGGGGAUUGACCGAACAAUUAAAAAUGGCCUCCGAUUGUAUGUUCGGCCAUGAAAACGUGUGUUAUAGGUCAUGGGGGCCCAAAAAUGGCCGCACCAGCCACCAAGGACGAAAAUAUGGGAGAUGGACCAAAGACAUGAAAAUGGCCUCCAGAUGCAUGUUUGGACAAAAGUGUGUGCUAUAUGUCGUGCAAGGCCAAAAACAGCUACACCAGCCACCGGGACAAAAACGUGGGUGUUUGACUAAACAAGUGAAAAUGGCCUCCGGAAGCAUGUACGGCUAUGAAAAUGUGUGCUAUAGGUAAUGGAAGGCUAACAAAAGCUACACCGGCCACCGGGGACAAAAUCAUGGGUGUCAGACUGAACACUUCAAAAUGGCCUCCGGACGCGUGUCCGGCUAUCAAAACGUGUGUUAUAGGUCAUGCGAGCCCGAAAACAACCACACUGAACACCGGGUACAGAAACAUGGGGGAUGGACUGAAUAACUGAAAAUGGCCUCUAGACGCGUGUUCGGUCAUGAAAACAUGUGUUGUAGGAUGCGGGAGCCCGAAAACGGCCACACCGGCCACCAGGGCAUGGACCAAACAAUUGAAAAUGGCCUCCGGAUGUGUGUUCGGCCAUGAAAACGUGUGUUAUAGGUCACGGGAGCCCAAAAAUAGCCGCACCGACCACUGGGGAUGAAAUCGUGGGGGAUGGACCGAAGAUGUGAAAAUGGCCUCCAGAUGCGUGUUCGGCCAUGAAAACGUGCGCUAUAAGUCAUGUAAGGCUAAAAAUUGCUACACCGGGACUAAAGCAUCCCCCAUGAGUUACAAUAAAAGGAUUGUAUCCUCUACUCAGUCGGAUGUACUGUGUAGGUGAGAUGGUAAGGAAGCUAUGCGCGAGGUUUGAGGUUGUGGGUUGAAAUCCUACGCACCGCGCGCACACGCGCAUAUUUUGUGUGAAAAAUCAUGUGACUUGUGAUCGGCCAAGGAGAAGUGGGUGCAGCUGUGGCUUAAGUGGCUGAGGCACGCUGCCAUAGACAUCUCCGAUUUGCUCGAAGACUACCAAGACACUAGCAAUAACAAGAACUACUGCUCUUCCUAGCAGACUCUUUACAACCACUUUAAAGCUGUGCAUUUCUCAAUGUAAUUUCGUAGAAGGCAAUCGAUCCAACCAAGCGACUAAAUCAUUUGUUCUUGCCAAUGAUGUACAUCAGGUUUUCUAUAUGAAGGACAUGUCUAGCAAACCUAAGAUUUUAGAAGAAAAAGAAAAAUUAUGGGAGUCAAUAAUAAAUCAGGCCAAUCAGGAGAUUAUAGUAAGCUCGAUGGUAUGCCUCCAUUCGAUGUCGAAGUUGGCCCAAGCAUCAUGUUAGCCAAAGAUCAAAUGUUCGUGCAUUGCUACGGUAAAGAUCAAUUGUGUCUUUUAAACCCAUGGAAUUUUUUAUCUAUGUUUUUAUUACACUUAAUGGAUGUCUACACAUUUGCUAGAAAAUCAAAAUAAUUUUGACUUAAUUAUUUCUUUCAACUCAAAUACUCAUUAAAUUUCUACCUUUUUAUUUAAGCAAGAGAGUUGCUCAAAAAAUGGAUACGUAACCAUGUUGUAUCAUACAAAGCAACCACAUUUCACAUAUAGUCUGGCUUAGCAAACACCAUUGUUGUCUUAACAUAGUGUUCAUGAGUUAGUAGACAUGGAUCUAUUUCUAAUUGCAAGUAGUGCAGCGUACAACCAGCCUGCACCGCCGCAGCUCAAUAUGCGAUAAUUUUUUAUCUUCCCAUGUAAUUUUUCUACUCUAGUACAUAUUGAACUCCACAUAAAUGUCAUGUUCUUUCACGCCACAGACGGUUUCUAAAGUUUGGAACUAAAUAGAUAGCCAAAAAUUUUAAAAAAAUAUUUAUAUGGAUACAUGUAUGUUCUUUGCAAACUAACAAUAUUGUUUACAAUAUCAAAAGGAAUAUGGCUAUGAUCAUUGCCGCAUAUGGCAGGUGAUGGUAGAUGCCGUAUGGGGUUUCUUUAACUUAAUUGUAUAAUAAGCUGAAAUACAUUUUCUAUUUGCAAAUGAAUCAUAGCUGAAAGUGGUGGGAUUGUAGAACCGCCGGCCAUCGUGUCCUUGUAGGACCGCUGCACGAGCCUGUGAGCCACCAGCCACCAUGCGCCCAAGGGCCAUCACCACGCCAUAAGAGGAUGCUGUCUACCCGGUUUCGCGCGCCUGUGCUAGCUGCCUGAACCUGGGCCGCCGCCGGUCGCCUGCCCAGCCGCGCGUUGCGCCAGGGUUUUGCUGGUGACGACCAUGGCCUUCGCGAUCAAAUUAAAAAGUUAUCAACUGCAAAGUAUUAGGUCUCGUUGAGCUCUACAAUUUUGAUAUAAAGUUUCUAUUCAUCCGAGAUCAAAUAAAAAAUUUGAUACUCAAAGCAUAAAUCCAUUAAUCUAGUCUUGCUAAUCCUUACCACCAAAUAAAAAACUAGCAUGUGUUGUGUGUUUGUGACCCUAAACGAUCACAAAUGAAUAACUUAUGGGCCUUGCUAGCGCCCGGAUGUCCAGGCCGGGGCACUAGCAUCAGACCCACGAGUAGCCGUCCGAUCAGGUUCGACACCACUUCAGGAUCUGGCUUAAAAAGAAGUCCCACCGAAACAUUGUUCCAUGUUGCAUGAAGCAACCCACUACCGUCGCCAGGUCUAGAGCAAGCACCACCUUCAAAUGUGCUGCUCACCCUAGCUAAAUAGGGGCAUUAAAAUAUUUCUCGCAUAUCCUUCUCAAAUUAAACAAAAUCGCAACAUCUGAAAAUUUUUACAGAAAACCAUGAAACAUAUCGAUUAGAUAGAUGUAACAAGAUGGAAUAUGGUAUAUGCAACAUAUAGGUUCCGAAAAGCAGAUGAAAUAUUAUGUAAUGAUUCUUGAAACAGUCAAGAAAAAUAGAUGUAACAUCUAAAAUUAAGAAAAGAAGCUUUAUGCAAAUUGCAAAAAGCUGAAACAAGUGGUUGAAACAUUUCAAAUCACCAAAUGCCACAUUUGAAAUGACCAGAUGAAACAUCACGAAAUCAAUUGCAACAGUUGAAGAUGAAAACAUUCAAAUGCCUUGCCUUUCUCCAAAUUUGACCCUCCAAGCAUGAGUCCAGCCAUUUGCACAUUAGACCCUUGGGAGGAGCUCACCGGAGAACAACAAGACCGUGUUAUCCAACAAUUUUCAGAUCAAAUUGCAACAUAAAGAACAAAGCAUUGCAACAUCUGGCAUCACGAGCUACAACAGCAACCAGUUAGGAUCAGGAGAAAGAGGGCAAACACAAGCCUAACAAUGAGUUAUAUCCGGUUUAAACAAGGAUAAAAAUGAGUGUAUUUUACACUCAUCAUGUUGUCUUUUCGCAGCUGUACCGCCUUUAGCGUGUUGUAUUGUUCCUAACACCAAGUCUCCGAGGCCCGAAAAAAUAAGGAAAGUGGUAGCAGCUCAGAAAUCGACUAAGUUUCUUUCCCCCUUUGGCUUUCCUACUAGGAUUCGGAAUCCUCUUUCGUAUGACAAUCUUAAUGAUCUCCCAUAGUCCAAAACUCACAAAAACAUCAAAAAUCCACCGAGAAUAAAUUAAGUAAAAAAACAUGCACACACAGAUAAUAAUAGUAAUCAUGUUUCAUUAUGAUUGCUAAGGUCAGACACAAUACAUAAACAUAUUAGACUGAGUGACCCACCUCACCUCAGAGUAUGCACCAUGUCUGAGUGACCCACCUCACCUUGCCAGGACACUGGUCCUGCCCUCGUGGUUCACGCGCCCUCGUGGUUCAGCAGUGGUCAGUACACAAAUCUAGCUGCCAGUCGGAUCCAAGGGCAGGCAUUUGCAUUGUGGUUGUGUUUGAACAUGGAGAUGUCAUUAUUAUUGUCAGGCACCAUACAUCCUCUCUCAGUUUCACUCCGCCUCACACACGGAUAGCACACCAGGGACCCGACACCAUGCAUGCCGAUUUCAUAUUAUUAAUAUUUAAUUUUUUUAAUGGUUGUUGAAACUAUAUUGUUGAUAUUUUUAUACAUAAUUUACGACCUAAUUUGGAUAUAUUUUUGAAAUAUUCCGAAAUCUUAAAUUCACACGUCUAGAGAUACAGUUAGUCCAAUCUGAUGUUUCCGAUUAUAAAAAUGAACAUAAAGAGAUAGGAAGCGAGAGACGUGAGGGGGAAAGUUAAAUUAGGGCCUAAGGGGUGAAGUUAGGGUUCCAGGUGAGCUGUCAUCACUACGUGUUUUUAAUCGAAAUUGGAAUGUCAGCAAUCGUCAGAUCUUGAGCCAACAGUUGAGACUGCCUCGGAAUGGUAAUUAGGUCUGCGCGAGCUUGCAUUGUGGCCUUCCUUGAAACCUUGGACAUAGGUGUUAUAUUAUUAUGUUCUUGCCAGCACACAGCAGUGAAGGACGACACAGUUGAGAUGUGCAUCACAUUUUCUAUAUGAAGGAUAUGUUUAGCAAACCUAAGAUUUUAGAAUAAAAAGAAAAAUCAUGGGAGCCAAAGCGCCACAUAGUUCUUCCAGGUAAAAAAAAAUCAUCCACUGGACCAGCACAUAGUAACGAUCCAAAAAGUCCAUAUUAAGAUUUUUUGAUAGCAGAAAAAACAUAAAAUGUCUAAUAUUUGUAGUAUUAAAAGGAAAAAUAAUAUAUUCACGUGACCUUUUUCCCGUAGCAAGGCACCGGUACGUGGUCAGACUUAAUGCACGAUGCCUAAGCAUCCAUUGGGCCUACCCUCGUGUGGAUCACGCGCAACAGGACACGGCUCACAAGCUAUGAUGUGCAGCAGUCGCUCAGAUGGCUGAAAGGUACCCUUAAUUUGAAUGGUACCAUAUAUAUAUAUAUAUAUAUAUAUAUAGUAAACAAGACAAACCACCGUUGAUACUACUUUGCACUACUUGAUACAUAUAUCUCCACCAAAAGCGAGGCACGUGGGGAGGAGAGAUAUGUGGUUGAUGGUGCGGGCACGUGGCGAGUGCACCGUACGAAAAUUUUGCUCGUGUCGGACGACUGAUGUGAAGCAUUACCCAAUCUUAAUUAUCUCCCAUAAUCCAAAACUCACAAAAACAUCAAAAAUCCGCCGAGAAUAAAUUAAGUAAACCAUGCACACACAGAUAAUAAAAUUGCUAAUAAGGCCAGAGACAAUACAUAAACAUAUUAGACUGUUCAUGACACAUAUCACGGUGGAUAGUGUCUGUGUCCUUAUUACAAGCAAUGAGAGAUGCUUGUCACCACACACACGCGCACAGAUGCACAACAUACAUAUAGUUGAGACCAACAGAUGGAUCAACUAGAGGUCACCCCAUAUGGUGAACAAUUUAUUGGAGAUAAACAUUAACAUAACUUGGCCAUAGCUUGAAGCAUAGCAACAUAUGCCUAUGAACGGCGUUCAUGCUAUCAUUUUAGGCUUGUCCGCUUCUUCCAUCUUAGCAAGCACUUCCAUUUCUACCAUCUUAGAAGCAACUGUCAAAUUGAGAUAUGGAAAUCCCAUUAGCGCAUGAGUUAAUUUUGCAGUGAAAAUAGAGUACAAGAUAUCUUCAUGAUGUAAGUAACAUGCCUGAAGUUGUGAGAUGGGAAGUGAAGUCAACAAAUUACAUUAACGGAAAUGCAUGGAAGGCCACACAUACGUAUUAGUCCAUGAUAUGCUACAAAGCUUGUAUGUACAUAUAGCAAAUUAAAUGCAUUAAUUGAAUAGAGUGAGUUUAGUGAAUUUACCAGAAUCGUCCAGAAAACAUGGGAAACAGCAAGUGUUCUUGCAGACUGCGUCGGUGCCACCCACAGCAAUACAACCAAAACAACAUGCUUUUGCCCGAGCGGCUGCGCAGCAGCCGCACUCUGCCGCGGUGGCCGAGUUAGCAUUGAGGCUCAAGAUGACCAGGCACAUGAUCACCAUCAAAGCGGUGGUAGUCCUCUUUCCCUCCAUUGCCUCCUCUUGCUGCUACCUUCCUUGGUUACCUAGCUAAGUUUAUUGGUUUUGUGUUGAGAGGUGAUUCUUGCAUUGAAUGGACGUUGCCGCGGCUGCAAUUUAUAGGCAGCUGCGCUAUGUGAUGAUAUGGACAAGGUGCAAAUGGGUGGUCCUGAUAUGGAUAAGGUGCAUGCGAAUGGCUGUCUACUUGUAUAGUGGCGCUCCAAUGUACAUACGUAUGUAUCUUAUGCAUGUAUACAGUUGAUGGAUGUACAUGUUUGUUGCACAAAUUAUUCUGAACCAACUCUUCAUAACAGGUCUUUGUUACCAAGUAAUUUUACUUUUGCACGUUUCAGCCGAGAGGCAGAAGAGAAUAUUUUACAGAGAGGGCAGAGAAGGAGGUUGGCGGAGGCGCCGUGGUAGGGUUCCCCGUGUCGCCAAGAUUUUUGCAUUUUAGAUGUGUGUAUUGAUCACUUCGUCGUGCUCGCGGGGCCCAACUCCAGGUUGUACCCCAGCAGACCACGUUCUGUUUCUCUGCCUCCAAUGAGCAUGCAUGCCUCCACAAGGACCACAAGACUUAGUAAAAAAGCUAAACUUUGCAACACGAUGUAUACAGAACGUUUUGAAAUGUACUCUCGUUAGGCAUUCACCUCCUUAACAAUCACUGCGACUGUAAAAGAGGUACAUCGACGCUAGCUAAAUAAACCACUAUAAGAUUUAGCAAGAGAUCAUUUUAUACAAUCCUGUAACGAAACAAUUUGACAAUUAUAGUGUCCAUAUAUUUUGACAAAAAAACGUUUAAAUUAUAUAAGGAGGUGGGCCCGAAAACGGUUGGAUUACAUCGAGAACGUUUUGAAACAGUUGGCGGAGCAGGAUUCUGGCGUGGAGCAUCUACAUUGUCGCGCGCGCGGACUGCCGGAGUAGGCACGCUCGACUUGUCCCAUCGCCAGCUAAAUGAUUUAGUACCGGAUGGUCUCUAGUACCGGUUGGAGCUACCGUCCACCAGGAGCUUUUCUAGUUUGGAACUGGUACUAAUGCUAAUAUUAGUAUCAGGUCAAAAACAAUCGGUACUAAGGCUAGGGAUGACACGUCAUUUUUCUAGUAGUGUGUGCAAUUGGUUUUGUAAUUAGUCUAUAUUUAAUACUUCUAAUUAGUAUCUACACAUUUUAUGUGACAGGGACUGAACUUUAGUCCGUGGAACCAAACACCCCAUAAGUAUGUUUGGUGCUGUAAGGAUUUCGGUUUUAUUUAAUUUCCUAGGCAUUUAAAUUUCUUUCUAAAAUAAGUUAAUGAAUCAUAGGAUCUCAUUGUUGUAUUCAAGCUGGUGCAUUGAUUUUGCCUAUAAAACCCGCCGCGGUCUUCGCAGCCCCCAUCAAACCCUAGCGCCCUUGCCACAAGCUCAGCACCGCUGCCGCCCGAGCUCGAGCACUAGCACCCACCCAUCGCCGUUGCCUUCCCGUCGAUGGGAUCACCGCCCGGAGCUUCGCAUCGUGGUAAGGAAGCCGCCCGUGAAGAUCCCAUGUGCUCCUAUGCCCUCUACCGCGUCCCCGAGUUCCCGGAGUUGCUAGUCUCCCACCGAGCCGACUCUCCGAGCUUCACGUCACUGGUGCCGCUCCGAAGACCUAGUUCGGUUCGCCAUGCACCUCGCUUCAUCCUGAGCUAAACCCCAUAAUGAAUGGUGGUCGGAUGCUCGCCGCCACGGCGCGUCGUCUUUUCUGUCGCCCGUGCAUUGCCUAUCCCCUUCCAGCCGAUUGCAGCUGUCCGAUCGCAAACCGGUGGCCCUGAUCGGAUACCAAGGUCAAUACCGGUCGAACCGAGCCGUGCGCUGCUUUUGCAAGAAGGCCCCUGUUUUUCUCUCUUUUUGCACCUGAGGUCCUACGCAGUUCAAAAGUAAUAAGAUCUAGGUCCUUUUUCUUUUGUUUUAGCCCGUGUUCUUUUAUAAAAUCCCGCCCACUAUUCUGUUUGGUCUUUUGACGCGUUAGACCUUCUUUUUAUAUGUUUAAUUAGGUUUUAGGUCUCGAUUUCUUUAAGUUUAGCCCUUGAAAGUUUAGUUCUCUCGCAGUUAAGCCCCUGAACCUUGUUUAGCUCAUAUCUUAAGCGUUUUAAAUCCGUUUUAACAGAUUCUUGCGCCUAUAAGUUCAUGUUGACGCAUAGAUUAGUUGACUUAUACGAACCUUGCUGAUUCAGCUCCUUGAUUGUGCUUCAGAUCUCGCUAGGGAAGAAUAAUGGAUGGGCUUUGGUUGAGCUUGUAGAUCGACUUGCAGUUGCAGUGAAUGAGCAGAGGAUUGGCAGUGAAUAAGAUCAGGCCGCUGCCCUGCUUGGUAGGGAAAAUAUCUGCUUGCUACCAAGGCCUGUGACGCAUGGACCCCAUUGAGAGUGCAUUAUUGACAAGGACUUAAAGCCAAGGGCUCCACACCUGUCAUUGAUCAGCUGUCUGCUGGGCGCUGCAAGGAGGUAGUGCAUGUUUGACAUAAAGAAGCAGGUGGCCCAGGAUUUACGAAAAAUAAGGAUCUAUUUGAUACCCUUGCUUAUAUUUAGGGGCUAAAAGUUGCUUAUUUGAAGUUGCUUAUUUUUAAUCCUAGCUGUUUGAUUGCAUGGGCUAAAGAGCAUUGAAUGAGGUGGAUAUUGUCAUGUUUGCCUCUAAUGAUUGCUUCCCAUCACAUUUCUCCCCCCUCAUUCAACGAGGGAAGGAGGUGUAAAGUGCACCUUUUAGCCCCGAUAAGUAACCCUUGUGUUGUUUACGGGCUGAACAUAAGUAGCUAAAGUUUAGCUCCAAUAAACAAGAGUGUUUGGUAUUUUUGGGGUUAAAAGGGGCUAAACUUUAGCUGCUUAUGCAUAAGCAAGGCCAUCCAAAUAGGCCCUAAGUAUGUUUGGCGUUGUAAGUAGGUUUUAUUUAAUUUCCUAGGCAUUUAAAUUUCUUUCUAAAAUAAGUUAAUGAAUCAUAGGAGUUCAUUGUUGCAUUCACGCUGGUGCAUUGAUUUUGCCUACAAAACCUGCUGCCGUUUCCGCAGCUCCCAUCAAACCCUAGCACCCCCGCCACGAGCUCCAGCGCCGCUGCCGCCCGAGCUUGAGCACUAGCGCACACCCAUCGCCGUCGCCUUCCUAUCAAUGGGAUCACCGCCCGGAGCCCGUGUCAUGGUAAAGAAGCCGCCCGUGAAGAUCCCGUCCACUCUCGUGCCCUCUACCGCGUCCUCGAGUUCACCGGAGUUGCCAGUCUGCCACCCAGCCGCCUCUCCGAGCUUCAUGUUGUCGUUGCCACUCUAGCUGCCUCUCUGAAGACCUAGAUCGGUUUGCCGUGCACCCCGCUUCAUCCUGAGUUAAACCCCAUCAUGCCACGUCAUAGUAAGGAAGCUGCUCAUGAAGAUCCCGUGCGCUCCCGUGCCCUCUACCGCGUCCCCAAGUUCACUGGAGUUGCUAGUCCACCACCGAGCCGCCUCUCCGAGCUUCACUUCACAGUCGCUGCUCCAGCCACCACUCUGAAGACCUAGAUCAGUUCGCUGUGCACCCCACCUCAUCCUGAGCUAAACCCCAUGACGAACUGUGGUCGGAUGCUCAUUUUCGAGUGAAUUCCGGCGAGAUGGUCGCCCGCCGCCGCCAUCUCCAUCGCCCAUGCACCGCCUGUCCCCUUCCAGCCGAUGUCCGAUUGCAAACCGAUAGCCGAAAUCGGAUGUGGUCACCAGGAUUAAUACCAGUCAAACUAAGCCACGCGUGCCGCUUUUGCAAGAAGGCCCCUAUUUUUCCCUCUUUUUGCACUUGAGGUCCUAUGCAGUUCAAAAGUAAUUAGAUCAAGGUCCUUUUUCUUAUGUUUUAGCCCUAUUCUUUCAUAAAAUCCCGGCUGCCAUCCUGUUUGAAAUAGAUACGGUUAUAGAUAUGCAAACAUCUGCAUAUUUCCAACCGUAUCUCUUUCGAACGGGAGACGCCUAACUAGGUUACGUGACAUACGAACAUCAUACGGAUAGAGAGGGGUAGGAUGUCUCACCUUGCUAUCCUACAAAGUGACGACUCGAGGACAGUAAUGUAGCCUCUCCUUCAAAAAAAGAACAUACUACUAUCAAGUUAAAUUUUUGACAGCACCUCCCCUGCACGUGGAGGUUUCCAUAACCUGCAUCAAAUAAAACGGCACGAUGGCUGACAACCACAUCUACAGCACCAGAAUGGCACGAUGGCCGACUUCCACAUAAAGUUCUUAUACCUUAGAUUGCCAAGUCAAACAUCCUUUUCUAAUUUCUAAAACAAAAGCCCUCCCACCUCUCUAUCUUAUACUUUCCUAUUUACUAAUUGCUUUUGUAAUUUCUAAUUUCUAUUUCAUCCUACCACCUCUGUACCCUUUUCUCAUUUCUAAUUCCAAUUUUCUAACUUGAAGAGCAAAGAUUGAUUACUAGGAGGGGUGAGGGACGCCGGCCUAGAGAGGCGAGGGGACGUCCGGCGGCGGCGGGUGCGUCGGGGGUAGGAUGCCAGGGGCGGCUGCAGGGGCGCCGGGUUGGGGGCGGCCGGGAUCGAGGGCACCAGUAGCGGGGGCACCGGGCCGGGGGCGGCCGGCGGGGCGGGACGCCAGGGCCGGGGCGACGGGCGCCGGUGGCGAGGCCGCCCGGCCGGUGGUGGCCGGCGUGGCGCCUGGGCCGGGGGGGGGGGGCGGGCGGGGUGCGGCGCGGCGCGCCGGGGCAGGGCGCCGAGGCUGGGUGGUGGGGUACGGGGCGGCGGGCGGGGGGUGGGGGGAGGGUCGGCGGCGGGGCGCGGGGGCGGCCAGCGGCGACGGCGGAGGGCGUCGGUGGUGUUUCGGAAGUGAUACGGAGGGGGUAGAGAGAUUCGUUUUCGCGGCUGAGUGUUCGAGUCAGAAGGCCGUGCGGCUUAAGUCAGGUGGUUUGCCGAGUGCGCGCGAUCUGGCACUCGGCAAAGUCAGAAGUUUUGCCGAGUGUCAGAUCGCGGGCACUCGGCAACUGCAGCUUUUGUCGAGUGCCCUGGAUUCGGCACUCGGCAAAGUGAAGUUUUAAUUUUUUUUAAAAAAAUUUAAUCGGAACACGGGCGUGCCAGCGGGCCCGUGACAUACUUUGCCGAGUGUGUAGCAAAAACACUCGGCAAAAUAUUAUCUUUACCGAGUGUUUUCGCUAGGCACUCGGCAAAGUACACUUAUAUUUCAUGUACACUUUUUCAAUAACGUGUUUUACUAACCUUUUUCUGAUAUACUUGGGAAAAACCUUAUCAAAUUCACUCAACAAUGGAUAUAUGGUUUUUCUACUGACAUUAUUCCAUUAUUUCAUUCAGUUAUAGCUCAAAUUGAAUUUAUAUCUAUUAAAAAUCAAUAAUUGCAUUUAAUAAAUAAAAAAUACCAAACGGAUCUGAAAAAUUUCCAAAAUUUGACAUGAACCAAUCUAUGUUGUAUGUUGCCUGUACAAAAAGCUUUGAAGUCAAACCCCAAUUCAAGUGUCACUUGGACUCCAAAUCUUAUCGGAUCCUUUCUAACUUCUAUGAAUCCUUUCGGGAGAUGAGUCGGUUUGUAAGCAUCAUAUGUCAUAAAUUGGGCGAAACCUUCUCAAUUUUUUACCACAGCCUCCACAUAUAAUAUCAUGACACCUUGACAAAUCUUGUGAUUUUCAGACUUCGUUUGCUUUUUUUAGAAUUUAACAACCAUUCAACCACAUGUUCGUGAUCGUGUUUUCUAAAAAAAUGUUCAAAAUUUCUUUUCAUUUCCUGGUUGAGACCUCAAUCCGGAUUGAAUAAUAUGAAUAUGAUUUUUUCACUGAUUUUAAUCCAUUAUUUAAAUCACUUGCAGUUAAAUUUGACUUAAAUAAACAAAUUCCUAUUAAUGCUAUCAAUUCAUUAAAAAUAGCAAACAGAGAAAAAAUAGACCAACUUUUAAGAUGGAUUACCAAAUGUCAUAUGUGGGGAGUAGAAAAAGUGUGGAGAGCAGAGGUGGAAAAAAAAGUUUUGCCUUUGCCAAGUGCCUACACAAACACUCAACAAACUUUGCGGAGUGCCUAUUGAAAACACUCAGCGAACUUCUGAGUUUGCCGAGUGUCUGGAGGGAGCACUCGGCAACCUACUUAUUUGCCGAGUGUCCGCGUCGGACACUCAGCAAAGUACUAACGGCUGGCACACUCCCCUAACGGACGGCGCACGUGCAAGCCAUGUGCUGGAGAUUUAUCGAGUGUCAAAUCGUUGCCGAGUGUCGUGUGGAUGUUUGCCGAGUGUCUUAUUUGUGACACUCGGCAAAGCUAUUGUUUGCCGAGUGUAUUAUUUAUGCCGAGUGUCUUCCAGUAUACACUCGGCAAAUGAUGUCUUUGCCGAGUGCUCGACAUAAAGCACUCGGCAAAAAUUUUACACUCGGCAACAUUCCUGUUUCCGGUAGUGAGUGACCCGGGACUAAAGACCCCCGUUGUCUCUGAUUGCUUUAUUCCGGAUGGAUUUUCAGGAGAUUUGCUCCCUACCAAUAGGGACUAAAGGCAAGUUUUCCACUUAUAGCAAACCAGUUAGCCCAUUGUUGAUGGAACGCAUCACUAGAAACAGCUCGGGAUCCACUUGUCCAAUAAUCGAGAGGGCCUAUAUAUGGACCACGUGUGCGGAUCCCUAAUUAGGAAAAAAGAAUAAUGGAGUAGGACAUCUCCAUGCUCACCUAGUAGCCGCUGCUAGCUUGUGCGUGUGGAACACGAGUGCCGGCCCAGUUGGCGCUAAGACAUCGUACGUGCAUUAAGGCUACGAUCUCUUUCUUCUAACUCAUGCUUGUGCUAUUAUACAUUAUUGCAUGAUCAUCAAGAUAAGAUCGUAUAGUGACUGAGUGAGACAUGUAUGUACUAACAUGCAUUUAAGCCUCGAACUGUGUGUUGUUACGUGAGCUGCCUCCUCACCUCGCCUCUGAAUUAUUGAACCGUUUCCAACAGUGUUGGUCUCAAAUAAAUUUGACACCAAACAGAUUUAUGAAGAAGAGAGAAUAAUACUUGGAAUUGGAAAAAGUUUAUCUCUCUUUACAAUGGAGUAGGGCUCCCUUUUAUAGUGACCCAUAAGCCACUUUACAUUUGGAAAAUGUCCUUCCUCAACCACUACAUUAAUUCCUAGGAUAUGCUGUACAUAAAGGUCAUUUGAGGUAACGUGUACAAAUGAACUCUUCCACAUGGUCACGUUUCUCAUGCCUCCUGUUUUCCAACCUCGAGACAUCAUCUUCACGCCAAGUUGAUCAUCUAGCCUCGAGGCUCCAUCCACGAUCCAGAAUGAACGUCCAGGCUUGAGGCUCCUUCUUCGUUAAGCUUUGUUGAGAACUCAUAACCUCACAUAGUUCUCCUCCGAGUAUUGUUCCCGACUCAGAACACUCGAGGUUUAGCUCAGUUGGAGUUUAGCUAUUACUGUUGCUAGUCACCAGCCUCGAGCCCCUCCAGAAGCAAGGUGAUGCGAGGGUACGAGUUUUACUAUUAAAGGUGUUUCCAUAGAAUGUGCGAGGUUAAAGCACUUGCAGCAAAAGCGUGGAGCUGCUUUCAACCAGAGUGCAAUAAUGCAGCCGUGCCCAUCUUGGUCUUGGUCUCCGCCUGAACUAUAGCAGAUGCUGGCAGCGGUAGCAGGGUGGUCCAUUAUAUCUAUGGAUGGCAAUGGUCGGAUUCGGAUGGAAUCGAAUUCGAAUAGCACUUUUUACCACAUACUAAUUCAAAUCCGAAUUCGGAUUCGGAUGUUCUCGAAUGCGAAUGCAAAAUGGAUGGUUCGAAUUCGAAUACUUAGCGGAUUUUUGCAUAAUAUUAAUCGAAUAGAAUUCAUUAAAUUUAGCCAAGAAAUUAAAUUUUCUGAAAUUAAAUACUUUCCCUUCGCCCCAGCGGCGGCCUAACUCCCAGGACGGUGGCGUGCGGGGCCCGAGCAUCCCUGGCCUCUAGUGGCGUGGCGGGGCGGCAUCCAGCAGCAGCGGCGGGGCUCGGCCUCCGGUGGCGCGCGGCCAGCCCGACCUACCCGGUCAGAGGUGGCGCAGCGGUGCGCGGGCCUCCCCGACCAGAGCCGGUGGGGAGCGGUGCGCGGGGAGGACCUCCCCAGCCGGAGGUAGCAGGGCGCGACCUCCCCGGCCGGAGGUGGCUCCCUGUGGGGGCGCGGCCGUGACAGCUAGCGAGGCAAUAAUUGCUUCCGUACGCAGCAAUAAUUGCUUGUGCGACACCGUGUUAUUACUCUGGUACAGUACUCCCUCCGUUGCAGUACACUGGUCCAGGCGUCAGGACACUGCUCCUGCCCUCGUGGUUCACGUGCAUCAGGCCAGCAGACAAGCUAUGAUGUUGCCAACAGUGUUUGUUUGAACAUGGAGAUGUCAUUGUGAUUGUCAGGGACCCGACACCAUGCAUGCCGAUUUCAUAUUCUUAAUAUUUAUUUUUUUAAUGGUUGUUGAAACUAUAUAGUUACUCCAAUAUCACGUUUCCGAUUAUAAAAAUUAACAUAAAGAGAUCGGAAGGGAGAGCCCGCAUAAUGAAGCCGACGCGUAUAAUAAGCACUAGAGCCGGCAUUUAUACAAACGGGUACGCAUAGUAAAAACUAGAAUUUAUAAAUAAAUGAAGAUAUUCAAAUAUCUGGCUUACUUUUUUCAUUAAUUUUGCAUGAAUAAGGGAUGAUUCAUUAAUCAUUAUUGAACAAAUUGGCACACAUGCUUCGUGCCCGCGUUGUGAGCAUUAUGCGAUGCCACUGAGCUGCACCACCACGGUAGAGGGCCUGUUUGCGAUGCCACCGAGCUGCACCACCACGGCAGAGGGUCUGUUUGGGAAGGGGAAGUUAAAGUUUAACACCCCCCAUUUAACACCUUUUUAACAAAAUGGCUGCUAAACACUUGUGUUAAAAGAGUAGUGUUAAAAUUUAACACCUCUCUUUUCAUAAACACAUGGAGGGGGUGUUAAAAUUUGCUAAAUGUGUUAAAAGUGGUCCCCUCCCCACUUAUUCCUUGGUUGCCCCCCUCUCUCUCCUCCUCUCUCUCCUACCCGCCGCAUUUAAGAGCAUUAUUGAGGGGUAAUGCAGUCCUUUUCCAACAAAAGUGUUAAACUUUAACAACCCUUCCCAAACAUGCCACAAGCAACACCACCGGCUGACUGUGCUAGCGGGGAGCACCCUCACCGCCUGCCCGUGGGGACUUCUUCUGCCGGCCAUCGUGUCUUUGUAGGACCGCCGCGUGAGCCUAUGAGCCACCGGUGGCCGUGCGCCCAAGGGCCAUCACCAUGCCACCUGAGGAUGCUGUCUACCCGGUGCCGCGUGCCUCUGCUAGCUGCUUGCACCUGGGCCGCCGCUGGUCGCCUGCACAGCCACGCGUUACAGCCGCCCCCCUGCGCUGGGCCACCCCAUUUCGUGUUGGAAGAACUGCCACAGUCUCGCGCACUGGGGUUUUGCUAGUGACGACCAUAGCCUCCAAGAUCAAAUGAAAAAGUUGGUACUCAAAACAUACAUCCAUUAAUCUAGUCGUGCUAAUCCUUACCACCAAAUAAAAACUAGCAUGUGUUGUGUUUUUGUGACCCUAAACGAUCACAAAUGAAUAACUUAUGGGCGUUGCUAGCCUAUAAGUUAUGGGCGUUUGUGACCCUAGUCGCGCCGGGGUCUUGCUGGUGACAACCAUGGUCUUCGCGAUAAAGUAUUAAGUCUCAUCGAGUUCUACAAUUUUGAUAUAAAAUUUCUAUUCAUCCGAGAUCAAAUGAAAAACAAAUGAAAAAAUCCGAAGUAUUAGGCUUCAUCGAGCUCUACAAUUUUGAUAUAAAAUUUCUAUUCAUCCGAGAUCAAAUGAAAAAAUCCGAGAUCAAAUGAAAAGUUGGAACUCAAAACAUACAUCCAUUAAUCUUGAUAUAAAAUUUCUAUUCAUCCGACAUCAAAUGAAAAAGUUGGUACUCAAAAUAUACAUCCUUUAAUCUAGUCGUGCUAAUCCUUACCACCAAAUAAAAAAACUAGCAUGUGUUGUGUGUUUCUGACCGUAAACGAUCACAAAUGAAUAACUUAUGGGUGUUGCUAGCGUCCCGGACGCUAGCAUCGGACGCAUGAGCAGCCGUCCGAUCGGGUCCGACACCACUUCACGAUCUGUCUUAAAAAAAAGUCCCACCGAAACAUUGUUCCAUGUUGCAUGAAAUACCCCACUAUCCAUCGCCAGGUCUACAGCAAGCACCACCUUCCAAUCUGCUGCUCACCCAAGCUAAAUAGGGGCAUUAAAAUUGCAGAAAUAUGUCACAUAUCCUUGUCAAAUUAAACUAAAUCGCAACAUCCGAAAAUUUCUUACACAAAACCAUGAAACAUAUCGAUUAGAUAGGUGUAACAAGAUGGAAUAUGGUAUCCAACAUAUAGAUUCCGAAAAACAGAUGAAACAUUAUGUAACGAUUGUUGAAACAGUCGAGAAAUAUAGAUGUAACGAUUAAAAUUUAGAAAAGAAGCUUUAUGCAAAUUGCAAAAAGCUGAAAUAAGUGGUUGAAACAUUUCGAAUCACCAAAUGCCACAUUUGAAAUGGCUACAUGAAACAUCACGAAAUCAAUUGCAACAGUUGAAGAUGAAAACAUUCAAAUGCCUUGCCUUUCUCCAGAUUUGACCCUCCAAGCAUGAGUCCAGCCAUUUGCACAUUAGACCCUUGGGAGGAGCUCACCGGAGAACAACAAGACCGUGUUCUCCAACAAUUUUCUGAUCAAAUUGCAACAGACAAAACAAAGCAUUGCAACAUCUGGCAUCACGAGCUACAACAUCAACAAGUUAGGAUCAGGAGAAAGAGGGAAAACACAAGCCUAACAACCCCAAGACAAAACUGAUGUACUCAUCAUACAUCACGGCUUGCCGUGCACAGAGAUGAAGGCCGCCAAGCUCAAUCGAGACAGAGACGACGUGAUAGUGCUCCAGAUCGACGGUCCCCAUCAAUUGUUGCGUACACUGCCAAAAGCAAUGGAAGAAGAAGGGUCGUCCCUGCUCGACCUCCGUAGAUGAGCGCAGAUUGGGGGAAACCGUAUAGAGUGCCGCUGACAGCACAGGCGAGGGGGCUCAGGCUUGAUUCAGGGUGAGGGUAGCGGGUAGCAUGAGGAGACAGUCAGGUUUCAUAGGAGAGAGGCGGAGUAGAGAGCUCUGGUGACUCGGUGAGGAGGGUGCGGCACGGAGAAAGGUGUGUAGCUGAAGGAGCUACAUGGUUGGGGCGAGGCGAGCGUAGAGACUAGAGAGGGAAAAAAAGCAUGGGGAGGAGACGAUAUGUGGUUGAUGGUGCGGGCACGUGGUGAGCGCACCGUAUGAAAAUUUUGCUCGCGUCGGAUGACUGAUGUGAAGCAUUACCCAAUCUUAAUUAUCUCCCAUAAUCCAAAACUCACAAAAACAUCAAAAAUCCGCCGAGAAUAAAUUAAGUAAACCAUGCACACACAGAUAAUAAAAUUGCUAAUAAGGCCAGAGAUAAUACAUGAACAUAUUAGACUGUUCAUGACACAUAUCACGGUGGAUAGUGUCUGUGUCCUUAUUACAAGCAAUGAGAGAUGCUUGUCACCACACACACGCGCACAGAUGCAUGACAUACAUAUAGUUGAGACCAACAGAUGGAUCAACUAGAGGUCACCCCAUAUGGUGAACAAUUUAUUGGAGAUAAACAUUAACAUAACUUGGCCAUAGCUUGAAGCAUAGCAACAUAUGCCUAUGAAUGGCGUUCAUGCUAUCGUUUUAGGCUUGUCCAGCUUCUUUCAUCUUAGCAAGCACUUCCAUUUCUACCAUCUUAGCAGCAACUGUCAAAUUGAGAUAUGGAAAUCCCAUUAGCGCAUGAUUAAUUUUGCAGUGGAAAUAGAGUGCAAGAUAUCUUCAUGAUGUAAAUAACAUGCCUGAAGUUGUGAGAUGGGAAGUGAAGUCAACAAAUUACAUUAACGGAAAUGCAUGGAAGGCCACACAUACGUAUUAGUCCAUAAUACGCUACAAAGCUUGUAUGUACAUAUAGCAAAUUAAAUGCAUUAAUUGAAUAGAGUGAGUUUAGUGAAUUUACCAGAAUCGUCCAGAAAACAUGGGAAACAGCAAGUGUGCUUGCAGACUGUGUCGGAGCCACCCACACGAAUACAAAGCUGACAACAUGCUUGUGCCUCGUGGGAUACGCAGCAGCCGCACUGUGCCGCGGUGGCCGAGUUAACAUUGAGGCUCAAGAUGAACAGGCACAUGAUCACCAUCAAAGUGGUAGUCCUCUUUCCCUCCAUUGCCUCCUGUCGCUGCUACCUUCCUUGGUUACUAGUAAGUUUAUUGGUUUUGUGUUGAGAGGUGAUUCUUGCAUUGAAUGGACGUUGCCGCGGCUGCAAUUUAUAGGCAGCUGCGCUAUGUGAUGAUAUGGACAAGGUGCAAAUGGGUGGUCCUGAUAUGCAGGAGCGGAUCUAGGGCCCAGGCAGUUUAAAUUAAAGUCUCCUCAUAGGCAGUUUGACUAUGAUCAAUUUUACCUGUAUUUCUCAAUAUGUAGAUAAUUCUAUGCCAACAAUUAAAAACUAAUACAUAAUUUGACACGGUGUACCUCGAGAACGUUUUGAAAAUGUACUCUCUCGUUAGGCGUUCACCUCCUUAACAAUAACUGCGACUGUAAAAUAGGUACAUCGACGCUAGCUAAAUAAACCACUAUAAGAUUUAGCAAGAGAUCAUUUUAUACAAUCCUGUAACGAAAGAAUUUGACAAUUGUAGUGUCCAUAUAUUUUGACAAAAAACGUCUAAAUUAUAUAAGGAGGUGGGCCCGAAACAGUUGCAUUAGCAUAUGGUUACCCGUUUGUUGUCUUCCGGUCCUAAAAAAAGGACCAUCUUACUUAAAAAGGUUCUAUUAGGCCAUGCAGCCGGCUCUGUGGCACCAAAAAGAAAUUUUGACACGGUUUACAUCGAGAACGUUUUGAAACUAGACUUUGGUAAGCAGUUCAUCACCUGCUUAACAAUAACGGCGUACAUAGACGCUAUCUAAAUUAACCACUAUAAGAUUUAGCGAGAGAUCUAUUUUUUAUAAUUGCGUAUACCACUUUACGAGAGAGACGUCAAGAGCAUGAUGGUACACUUUGUAUAUAUCUUUGAAUUCCAGCUACGGGACUUUCUUGCCUUCGCCGAAAAAAUCUAUCGGUUUUAUCUUAAGGCCGAACAUCUCCCUCUCGUCAGCGAACUUCUUCAUGUACCAUUUAUGGAAUUUGUAUAUCAAAGCUUCCCUACCAACUCAGGCCUUACUGGAGAUUUGCCUAGCUCAAAGGUCCAUUUCAGUUCAACUAGCGGUCCAGCUGGCAGCUCAACUUGCCCAAGACACUCAGCAAGUCCCAUACCUAUUUCUUCCAUGAAUUUUAUUACUUCUGCUUGUUGAUGCAAGGGCAUUGCUGCUAUCUGUUUAGCGUCGUUUUCUAGUAGAUGCCCGAGGUGGGGGAUAGCACCACUUGAAGACAACUUUCCUUUCCUUUUUUUCCUCUCAUCAACCUUAACUAAUGCCCGUUCGUAGUUCGACAGUAGUGGCACUGACUUCUUGGUUGCUUCUUUCAUCUUUUUUUUAAAAAAAUAAUUCUCUUCGAUCUAUUAGCGGUGGCUCCAUCUCCUUUGCUUUUUUUUCUUCGACCCUUUUCUUGAACCACUCCCUGCAUUCUGCUUGGUUUCGGCCCAGCGUUCCGCUUGAGUCAUUGCCUCUUGGCGUUUCUCAGGAGUCACUUUAGGCUCCUUUAUUUUUUUCUUUCUCUAUCUUGGCUUGGGAGGCAAUGGUCGUGACUUCUUAAGUGGUGCUGCAGUUUCCUUGCUCUAGGCUUCUCUUAGUCCCGAUGACGAUGAUCGGGGAGGAGUGUUGUUGUCCUCGUCGUCGCUCGCACCACCAGGAUGUGGUGGAGAUGGAGACCUUGAUCGAGCAGGAAGCGACGGUCCCUGUGGUGACGACGGUCCUGGAGCAGGUUGUGCUGGAGAUGAUGGUCCUGGAGCAGGCCGUGGUGGAGAUGACGGUCUUGAGCUUUGGGGAGAGGGUCGCUGCUGGGGAUUUGUGGGGAGCAGUCUUGAGCUUUGAGGAGAUGCCUCAAUGCCGGGGAUGAUGAUGUAGCAUUUGUGCCAUAGAAUGAUCCCGUGAAGCGCAUAUCCUAGUGUCCUUUCCCCGUCACCUCCCGGGAGGUCGAGCUCUAGGCCUUCAUAUUGGCUAUCAACGAGCUGCUCUAGGCCGACGCUGGCGUAGCCAGGUGGAAUCUCAAUGCCAUGGCUUGUCUGCCCUGGCAGGAUUGGUAAGGCACUCUCAUACACCACCUGUACAUAUAGCAGAAAUAAAGAAGUUAUUAAACUCCGAUCCCGAGGUGUGGAUGGAUGAUUGAGAAGAUUGCAAAAAUAUCAUGUAUAAGUAUACCUUAAUGGUGAUGUUGUCGACCGAUUUAUGCAGCUCACAUGAGGUGCGUUGCGUGAUGACAUCCAUAGGGAACCGUUGCUCAACCAUGGGUAAUCCUUGCAUUUAUGGAUCGGGGAGCCCUGUGGAAGCACAGCUGCUCCCGAGGUGUUAAGAAGGGCUAGCGACGUUUGGAUCCGACAGUGCUCUAGAUUGGGCUAACUCCGCAACUGCUAGGGCCACUCGACAAUUGAUUUCCUCUUGCAUUCUUACUUCUUGUGAAUGCACUUUGGAUUCUAGCAUGCACCUCAAGGUCUCCUCAACAUGUUCCUUUCUUCGCUUGUGGCUUUGGUACGAAGCGAUGUCACCUUGAAAAGCGAACUUCCACGGAAUGACCCCGUACCCUCGGCAAUGUCUUGGGUGCUCGGGAUUCCCGAGGGCCAAUGUGAGCUCAUGAUUCUCUCGGUCCACCUUCAACCUCCGAGCCUUAGCAUCUUCAAUGUUCUUCAUAAGCCUUUCGGCCUUCUGACGUAUUGUCUCAUUGAAGAUCAAUGUCACAUCCUCUUUGGCUCAGGUUGCCUCCAUGAGCGUAACACCAAUUUUUCGAUUGAUCGGGCCAUUCAAGAGUUGCUGGUAUGAUACUCUGAUCAAUCAGGUUUUGUUCCAUCUUGCACCAUCUGGGAAUUGCUGUGCCCUAACCACCUCACCCUAGACGAUGAUGGUACUCCUUCUUGCCAGCAUUUGCAACGUUGGUCUUGACCUUAUUCGCACCGUCUUCGCUCGUCUUGUGUUCGACAAAUGCCUCCCAGUGGUCCCUCAACUUUUGCCACUCAUCGAAAUCCGGAGUUUAGCCAUUCUUGAUGAAUGUGGCAUCCAGCAUCUUCUUGAAUGUCUGGAAUUGUGUGGCCAUCUUCUUCAGCGUCCACGGUUUCACAUCAUCUUCAUUACAUCCUUCGGGAAAUGUGAAAUGUCUCUUAACAUCUGCCCACAGCAUAUUCUUUUCUGAAUCCGGGAGCGUGUAUGGAUUAGUACUUUUGUCCUUCCAUUCCCUGAUGCUGAUAGGCAGAAGCUAGAGACUAUUUCUUUUUCUAAAAAUACACAUGAGGGAGAAAAUUGGUAACAGCUAAACAGUGCAGAUUGCAUUUCAACACACGUUUUUAUAGCUGAGCACACGUCUGAAUCCCAUUUUUAAGUGUUCGGUCCUACACCCACAUUUUCAUCCCAGGUUGUCGGUUUAGUCAUUUUUUACCUUCCAUGACCUAUAGCACACAUUUUUAUGGUAGAACACGCAUUCAGAGGUCAUUUCCACAUCUUCGGUCCAUCCCCAUAUUUUCAUCCCCGGUGGCCAGUGUGGCUGUUUUCGAACUAACGUGACUUAUAACACACGUUUUCAUAGCCGAACACGUGUCCGAAGGCCAUUUUCAAGUGUCUAGUCUGACACCCACAUUUUUGUCCCCGGUGGCCGGUAUGGCUAUUUUUGUGCUCCCGUCACCUAUAACACACAUUUUCAUGGUCGAACACACGUCCGGAGGCCAUUUUAAGUUGUUCGGUCCAUCCCCACAUUUUUUACCCCGGUGGUCGGUGUGGCCAAUGUUUUCUUGGUCGAACACGCAUCCGGAGGCCAUUUUCACUUGUUCGGUUCGACACUAACAGUUUCAUCCCGGUGGCCGGUGUGGCUAUUUAUCGUUCUCCCAUGACCUAUAACACACAUUUUCAACACUAACACUUUCGGAGGCCAUUUUCAAUUGUUCGGUCUGACACCAAUGUUUUGGUCCCCAGUGGCCGGUGUGGCCGUUUUCAACCUCCCGUGACCUAUAACACACAUUUUCAUAGCUAAACACGCGCCCGGAGGCCAUUUUCAAGUGUUCGGUCUGACACCCACAUUUUCGUCCCCGGUGACCGGUGUAGCUCUUUUUGGCCUUCCAUGACCUAUAGCACACGUUUUCAUGGCCAAACACACGUCUGGAGGCCAUUUUUCACUUGUUUGGUGCAUCCCUAGUUUUUGCUCCAGUGCUAAUGUGGUCGUUUUUAGGCUUCGACCUAUAGCACACAUUUGCAUGGUUGAACACGCGUCCAGACGUCAUUUUCACUUGUUCGGUCCAUCCCCCACGAUUUCAUCCCCGGUGGCCGGUGUGGCCGUUUUUGGGCUCCCAUGACCUAUAACCCACGUUUUCAAGGCCGAACUCGCGUCUGGAGGCCAUUUUCACUUGUUCAGUCCAUCCCACAUGUUCUCGUCCCCGGUGGCCGGUGUGGUCAUUUUCAGGUUCCCGUGACCUAUAAUCCUCGUUUUCAUGGCUGAACACACGUCCGAAGGCCAUUUUCGCUUGUUCAGUCCAUCCCCCAUGUUUUCGUCCCAGGUGGCCAGUGUGGCCGUUUUUGAACUAACGUGACCUAUAACAUACGUUUUCAUAGCCGAACACGUGUCCGAUGUCCAUUUUCAAGUGUUCGGUAUGACACCCAAGUUUUCAUUCCUGAUGGCUGGUGUGGCCAUUUUCGGGCUCCCGUGACCUAUAACACAUAUUUUCAUGGCUGAACAUGCGUCCAAAGGCCAUUUUCAUUUGUUCAGUCCAUCCCCCACGUUUUCAUCACCGGUGGCCGGUGUGGCCAUUUUAGUGAUCCCGUGACCUAUAAAACACGUUUUGAUAGCCGAAGACGUGUUUGCAGGCCAUUUUCAAGUGUUCGGUUUGACACCCACGUUUUCGUCCCCGGUGGCCGGUGUUGCUGUUUUUUGCCUUCCAUGACCUAUACACGUUUUCGUGGCUGAACACGCGUUCGGAGGCUAGUUUCACGUUUUCAUCCCUGACGGCUAGUGUGGCCAUUUUCGGGCUCCCGUGACCUAUAACACACAUUUUCAUGGCCAAACACAAGUCCGGAUGCCAUUUCCAGUUGUUCAGUCCAUCCCCCACAUUUUCAUCCUCGGUGGCCGGUGUGGUAGUUUUUGGCCUCCCGUGACCAACAACACACAUUUUCGUAGCUGAACACAUGUCCGGAGGCUAUUUUCAAGUGUUUGGUCCUACACCCAUCUUUUCAUCCCCGGUGGGUAGUGUAGCCAUUUUUUAUCUUCCGAAACCGAUAGCACACGUUUUCACGAGCAUGGCCUGUGAGGCUUAGCUUCUCGUAACCGUAGGUCAUGGCAGGGUUUGAUCGGUCAGGAGGCUGAAGAGUAAGUUACUUUGGGUAGUCAGUGGAAUGGGAUGCCCUUUCAUUUGGGCGAAGUGUGUGAUCGCACGAAAGUAAAGAGCAGGUGGUACUGCACCCUCGUGGAGCCCCCGAGCGACCCAAGCUAAGAGUGCUCGGGCUGGGGCGCUAUAGGAGCGAGUAUCAAAUGGAAACAACUGGUAAAACCAAGCUAGGGAAAUAAACAAUGUAACUGCUCAAUGUUCCAUGUGUUGGUGAGGAUGUUGCCGUCGUCGUCCUUCAGUCAGUAGGCGCAUGGUCGGAUCACCUCGGUGACUGUGUACAGUCCUUCCCAUGGCGGAGAGAGCUUGUUCUUAUUAUUGGUCGACUAGGUCCUUCGAACCACAAGGUCACCAAUCUCGAGGGUCCUCCCUCGGAUUUUCCUCUCGUGGUACCUACGAAGGGUUUGCUGGUAACGAGCGGAGUGGAUGAUGGCCAUCUCAUGUGGCUCCUCGAGCAGGUCGACUAUGUCCUGCUAAGCUUCUGUAGCUCGGUCUUGGUCGAAGGCCUUUACCCUUAGGGCACCGUAAUCGAGGUCGAACGGUAACACGGCUUUGGCUCCGUACACCAAUAAGAAGGGGGUGAACCCUGUGGAUUGGUUUGGGGUCGUUCUAAGGCUCCAGAUUACCACUGGGAGCUCUGUGACCCAUCACCCGGUGUGCUUUUUUAGCCGGUCGAAAAUGCAAGGCUUGAGCCAUUGGAGGACCAUGCCAUUCGCUUGCUUGACCUGAUCGUUGGUUUGUGGGUGCCCGACCGAGGCCCAGUCGAUCCUAAUGUCGUAUCCAUCAUAGAAAUCCAGGAACUUCUUGCUAGUGAAGUUUGUUUCGUUGUCUGUGAUGAUGCAGUUAGGGACGCUAAACCGAUAGAUGAUGUCAAGGAAGAACUCGACUGCGUCUUGUGACCGGAUGUUGGUGAUGGGCUUCGCCUCAAUCCACUUGGUGAAUUUGUCCACCGCCAUGAGUAGGUGAAUGAUGCCACUCGGGGCCUUUUUAAGGGACCCAACUAUGUCGAGGCCCCAGACCGCGAAUGACCAGAUGAUGGGGAUGGACUAGAGCUCUUGCGUCGGCAGGUGAGUUUUCUGAGCAUAGAACUGGCAGCCUUCACACUUGUGGACCACCUCCUCUACGUCUUGAAAUGUUGUGGGCCAGUAAAAACCUUGGCAAAAGGCUUUCCCGACCAGUGAUCUCAGGGACGCAUGGUGUCCGCAGAUUCUGGCAUGGACAUCAAGAGAAGUUGUUUCCCCUAAUUGGUCGGGAUGCACUUCAUGAGUAUUCCCGAUGGACUUCAUUUGUAACGUUCAUCACCGAUGGCGACAAAUGUCUUGACGCGUCAAGUGAUUCAUCGUGCUUCAAUCCUCUCCAGUGGGAGGACCUCUUCGAGGAUGUAGGCGAGUAACGACGCUCUCCAGUUGGUUGGGUCAUGCACCAUUACGUCAGUGCUUCUAGGUGAGGUCGCCAUAGGGGCAUCAGGGUCGGAGCCCCUGAGCACGCAAUCGGACUGUGACUGGGUUGGGUCCUCUCGGACACGGGCAGAUGGUUCAUGGAGGUCGUUCACGAAGACUCCGUUGGAAGAUGGGCCCCAUCUAGGUGCCAAUUUUGUGAGGAAGUUAGCAACAUCAUUGUCCUUUUGUGGCACAUGAUGUAGCUCGAUCCCUCGGAACUUGUCUUCUAACUUGCAUACAUCUUGACAGUACGCUGCCAUGAGAGGGCUCCUGCAGGAGGACUCCUUCAUGACUUGGUCGACCACUAGCUCCAAGUCGCCGCAGCAUAAAGCCGCAUCUCGCCGAGCUCGAUGGUGAUACGUAGCCUAUUGAUGAGGGCUUCGUACUCCAUGAUGUUGUUCAAGGUUGGAAAAUGGAGACGGAUCGCGUAGCGGAGCCUAUUCCCCUGUGGUGAGAUAAGGACCACUCUAGCCCUCGAGCCAGGUCCCAUGAUCGAACCGUCGAAGUACAUCAUCUAGUACUCGUGGGUGACAUCCAGGGUCAGGAUCUGGACUUCCAUCCACUCGGCGAUGAAGUCGGCCAGGUCCUAAGACUUGAUAGCUAUGCAGGGGACGUACUUGAUGUCAUGGCCCAUGAGCUCAAGCAUGCACUUGGAGAUUCGCCCCAUAGCAUCACGGUUGCAGAUGAUCUCUCCCAGCAGGUACAAGGUGAUGAUCGUGACCUCAUGGUCGGUGAAGUAGUGUCGGAGCUUCCGGGUUGCCAUCAGCAUGACGUACAGAAGGUUCUGGGCUUGGGGUAACGCAUGUUGGCGUCAUGUUGACACCAUGUUUUGACAUACGUCAAACAUGGCGUCAAAAGAAAAUAGAGAUGCCAGCGCAUAGUGGAAGGACAACGGCUAGUGGAAUCGACUGGUAAGGUUGUAGAGGGUUGAGCCGAUAGAGUAAGGCAGAAGCCUAGGCGAUGGGAUCACAGGGGCAUAGCCCAUAGAGUCAGACGAUGCGAGCAGGAGGGUUCUAGCCGAUAGGAAAUGUUGGAGGUUCGGCCGAUGAGGAGCUGGUUUUGGUCGGUAGAAGCCAAGUUCGUUUCUGACUCCUACAUGAGUCAUUUUUAUUUAGAAAGUUUGUUUCUUUAGAGAUAGGUCUUAUGAUUUGUUGUAACCGACUAGGAUUAGAAAUCUUGAUGUAUAGGGUAUAAAUAGGGGCCUUGUAAGGUUUGGAAAAGACACACACAUCAUAAUCAAUACAAAUCUACUAUUUUCGCAAUCUACUUUCAAGUCGACGACUUCGCCAUUGUUUUGUUUUCUUCACGAGUUCUUCCAAGCUGGUUGGGCUGCAUUGCUUCGAUCUCCAGCUAGACUGUAAGUUUCGCGUUUACUGAAUACCUCCUAGGCUUUAACUUUGGGUGCAUUGCUGUCAUUUCGUCUGGAUUUAUUCACAAGUUAUCGAUAUUUACUGGAUCUGCAUGUUUUAUUUGUUAAAUCUUGUUGCUUUAGUUUUUAUCACGGUUAUCCAGCUUAGAACACAUUCCAAUCAGCUUUUUCUUUAUUUCUCAUACUAAUCUACUAUCACCCAGCCGAUUAGAUCUGUUUUAAUUGGUGUUCAUGUAAUGCUAUUUAGGUUGUAUUUUACGCUUCCUUUACAUCUACUACAUCCACAUCGGCUGAUCUAGCCGAUUGUCUUUUCUCGUGUCGGCAGCUCUACGAUACGUCCUGUGGAGCGAUUUAGAAUGCCAGCUGAUUUGCUCUUGUAUUUGACAUUUUACCUGUCCUUUUCAAUCAAUAGGUCAGAUUGACUGGCACACCAUGGAUCGAUAGGGCUACAACCCAAACAGGAGCGAAGCAGAUUCUCCCCGGUUUUGUGUGUUAGUGCGCGGGAGCCGUCUCUCAAUUUUUGCGUCAACACAUCGGUGAGUACUUCACUGAUGAAGUACACCGGUCGCUGGACCUUCAGCGCAUGUCCUAGCUCCUCUCUAUCGACUACAAGGGCAGUACUAACCACGUGGUCGCUUGCCGCGAUGUAGAGGAGAAGGGGUUCUUCCUGCUCGGGAGCGAUGAGGACUAGGGCCGAAGUCAGCAAUGCUUUGAGGCUUUCCAAAGCCCAUUGUGCCUCCUCCAUCCAGACGAAUGCGUCUGCCUUCUUGAGGAGUGUGUAGAGAGGCAUCCGUCGUUCGCCUAGUUGGGAGAUGAACCGGCUCAGGACGGCCAAACAACUAGUGAGCCUCUGUAUGCCCUUGAUGCUGUGUAUGGGGCCCAUGUUGGUGAUGGUCGUGAUUUUUUUGAGGUUGGCUUCAAUGCCGCGCUCGGACAUGAUGUACUUGAGCAGCUUCCCCUUUGGAACCCCGAAAACACAUUUCUCAGGAUUAGUGGGGUUGUGGUGCUGCACUACUCCAGAACAACAACACUGCGGCACGCUUGCUCAAUCAGACGGCAAACCAGCCUGCUCUAGCAUACAACCUCCAUCACCAUCGGCUCCGCAGCCAGCCGUCCAGCGUUAUCAGCAGCAUCCACUAGAAGUCAGCAGGGAGGAUGGUGUUUUGGAUCCUCACAGGGAUGGGUCACCUAUAGUGGUGUACGAUGAGGCAACCAGUGUGUUGCGGCAUGUUGAUUCUUCCCGCCAGUUGACCUAGCCGCAAUAUCUGCAACAUACAUCGGCUAUCCAAUAGCCAAUUGUGGUGCCACAAAUUCAGCAGCAGGUGCCAGUGGGCCAGCCAAUGCUCCAACCUAUGGUCCAGCAGUAGCCGCAACAGGUUGAUUGGGCCGCAAAGAUAGCUGGGGUGAUGCAAGAUCAGUUCGGUCUAAAACCUAAAGUGCAGACCUACACGUACAGAAUGCCGUACCCACCAGCCUAUGACAUGUUGUCGUUCCCUCACCGAUUUCACCAAGUUCUCGGGACAAGAUGAGGCAUCUACGGUGGAGCACGUCAAUAGGUUCAUCAUUCAGUGUGGAGAGUCAGCUGUGCAGGAUGCUCUGAGGGUUCGGCUGUUCUCAUCAUCUCUGUCCGGGUCAGCCUUCCAGUGGUUCACGACGCUUCCACCUAACUCCAUUAUCACCUGGGACAAUCUGGAGAAAUAGUUCCACAAAAACUUUUUUGCUAGGGUUCACGAGAUGAAGCUGACAGAUCUAACUAGUCUCAGGUAGAGGAGUGAUCAAUCGGUGGCCAGUUUCAUCCAACGGUUUAGGGAAGUCAGGAACAAGUGCUACAGUUUGGUCUUGAGCGAUAGCCAACUAGCCAACACGGCUUUUUAGGGGCUUCACAGGAGUUCGAGAGUUUGAGCCAGAUUGUACACCGGUUGUCAAACCAAGACGUACACCCAUUUGAUUAGAGAAAGAAUUUCCAGAAGAAGGUGGCGUACGUGGAGUGUUUGGACUUAGAAGGAGAAGCAGAGGUCAGCUUGGCAGAGUGGGUUAAAGUCCAAAAAGCCGAUCUCUUGCCCGUACGGCAAGAAGGAGCCUGAGAAAUUCGAGUUCAAUAUUUCCAAGGCCAAUAAGAUCUUUGAUUUGUUGCUGCAAGAAGGGAAAAUCAAGCUCUCACCAUACCACACGAUCCCAUUGACUGAAGAACUUAAGAAGAUCAAGUACUGCAAGUGGCACAAUGCCACAUCUCACAACACCAACGAGUGCAAAGUCAUCUGCCAGCAGAUCCAAUUAGCUAUUGAGCAAGGGAGGCUCAAGUUUAAAGCUCCUUCAAAACCAGCAAAGCCGAUGAAGAUCGACCAACAUCCAUUCCCAACAAAUAUGGUAGAAGUCGGAGGCAAAAGCGCACCUCCCACAAAGGUGCUGACAUCAGAACCAGCCAAGAGGAGUGGAGAUGUGGACCCUAGAGUAUAGGUGUCGGCCAACGAUGUCAAGUUGAACAGUCAGUUGCAAGAAGGUUAAGCUCAACAAGGCCUCAAUGGCCGAUAUCCUCCCAAGAGUUUCUCAAUAAGUUAUAGAGAUAGCAAGACCAGGCAAGGCACCGGGAAGAGAUGACACAUCACCAUGAAAACCACUGGAGAUGCCCAUUCUUCAUAUACUGCUAGGAGGAGCGGAUCAAGAUACCAUCGAUUGACAACUACCCCGAAUGCAAUGGGUCAUACCAAGGCAGCCGAUUGUCCAAAAGACCGUGCUUUGAUGAUAGGAAUCAAAAGCCGAUCAAUAGGGAUAGACCUUACCAUGAUGACAGGUGCAUCCCAAUGCGUGAUUGACUGGGGGGGCAGGAUCAGUAUACAUGAUUGGCUGGAGGGCAGGCUAAAUGUUCCCAACAGACUAGAGGAAAGAGCCAAUGCAAGAGUCCUCGAUGAAGAGCCUUUGUGUCGCGAACCAGAGCGGCGGCGUGCAUCAUGAGACAAAGCUAUAGAAUAGCCUAGAUGGUGCCCAGCGGGUUUGACUAAGUCCCAGAAGAGACGGGUUCAAUGCAUGCGACAAUGGGAGUAUCAAGAAGAGGAACAAAGGUGUGCUUCAGAAAGGAAAGGGGUCAAAUCCUAGGUGUGGCACAUCAAAGACAAAGCCGAUGACGAAGAUAACAAUCCCAAAUCAGCUGUUGAUGUCAACAUGGUUUUCGUAUUACCGAUGGAAUUCAUGGCUCCAACCAAUCACAAGGCAACAGAAGCAGAACAGGGGAUGGCACAAUUAACCUUGGAGCUGAUGUCAGCCACCUUUGAGAAACCCAAAGAUGAAAAACGUCGGCACCUGAAAGCCCUCUUCCUCAAGGGGCAAAUCGACGGGAGGCUGAUUACCAAGCUUCUGGUGGACAGUGGUGCAGCCGUGAACAUCAUGUCGUAUGCCAUGUUCCGCAAGCUCGGCAAAGGCGAAGAAGACUUGAUCAAAACAGACAUGAUGCUGAAGGACUUCAAAGGAAACAUCUCUCCGGCCCAGGGGGCACUCUGCGUCGACCUCACCAUCGGCAGUAAGACCCUAGCUACUACUUUCUUUGUUAUUAAUGGUAAAGGGUCCUACAAUAUGCUUCUGGGUCAAGAUUGUAUUCACGCCAACUACUACAUCCCGUCUACAAUGCAUCAAUGUCUCAUCCAAUGGGUCGGCGACUCAGUUGAAGUGGUCACCGCUGAUUCUUCUUUCAGCGUCGUUGCAGCCGAUGCACAAUAGUAGAAUUGCAAAUAAGUCAGCUGCAUAUCUGGCAGAGUCUAGGAUACAGAUUUCUUGAAGAUGUCCAAUUUUGGACUACAGCGAUCCAAGUAGUCGGCUCUGAAGAAUUGUCCUGAUGGAUGAGUUCACCCAAGAAGAUGGGAAGCUGGAGCAUGAGUUUAUGUCAGUCGACGAGUUAGAGAUGGUAGAGCUUGAAGAUGGGAGCAAGCCAAAGCAGACAUAUAUUAGUGCUAAGUUAGAUCCUGAGUAUAAGCAUGAACUAAUUAAGUUGUUAAAAGAAUUCAAAGAUUGUUUUGCUUGGGAGUAUCAUGAAAUGCCUGGUUUAGAUCAAUCUAUUGUCGAACAUCAGUUGCUAAUAAAAUCAGGAUAUCGGCCGUAUCAGCAACCUGUGUGACGUUGUAAUCCGAAGAUUUUACUUGAUAUUAAGGCUAGGAUCACAAGAUUAAUUGAUGUGGGGUUUAUUCGGCAAUGUCGGUAUGCUGAGUGGAUUUUUAAUGUGGUUCCCGUAUACAAGAAGAAUGGAAAACUGCACAUUUGUAUUGAUUUCAGGAACCUCAAUCAAGCCACACCAAUGGAUGGUUGUCUGAUGCCGACAGCUGAUGUGUUGAUAGAUGCUACUUUAGGAUACAAAGUCAUUAGUUUCAUGAAUGGUAACGUUGGAUAUAACCAAGUAUUGAUGGAGAAAGAAGAUAUUUCCAAGACGGCUUUCGGGUGUCCUGGACACAACGGUUUAUUUGAAUGGGUGGUCAUGACCUUCGGAUUGAAAAAUGCUAGGGCUACAUAUCAGCGAGCCAUGAAUUACAUUUUCCAUAAACUUAUCGGCAUCCUAGUGGAAAUUUAUAUCGAUGAUGUCGUAGUCAAAUCGAAAGGGUAUCGAGAACACUUAGCCGAUUUGCGUGAAGUCCUGGAAUGCACAAGGAAAGAUGGGUUGAAAAUGAAUCCGAAUAAAUGUGCUUUUGGCGUGUCGGCUCGAAAGUUCUUGGGGUUCAUGGUUCACGAGUGAGGCAUUGAAAUUAAUCAGAGGAUCAUUGGUUCUAUUAACAAAGUUGUGGCUCCGUAAAAUAAGACUGAGUUGCAGUCAUUAAUCGAUAAAAUUAAUUUCAUCCAAAGAUUCAUAUCGAACCUGUCUGGAAGGAUUCAAUCUUUCAGCCUGUUGCUUAAACCAAAAGUCGAUCAAGAGUUCGUUUGGGGGUAGAGCAGCAAAAUGCAUUGGAUGAUAUCAAACAAUACCUGGUGUCACCUCCUAUAUUGGUUCCUCCACAAGCUAACAAGUCGUUCAGGUUAUACCUCUCAGCCUAUGAGUGUGCCAUUGGGUCGGCUCUUGUCCAAGAACUUGAAGGGAAGGAACGAGUAAUUUAUUAUGUGAGCAGAAGACUCUUGGAUGCAGAGACCAGGUAUUCCCCAGUUGAGAGGUUGUGUCUAUGCCUAUAUUUCUCCUGCACUAAGCUUAGACACUAUUUAUUAUCCGCCGAGUGCGUUGUGGUAUGCAAGGAUGAUGUGGUCAAAUACAUGUUGCCAUUGCCAAUUCUAAAUGGAAGGAUUGGGAAGUGGAUUUUGACUCUGUCGGAGUUUGACCUAAAGUACGAAUCAACUAAAGCUGUCAAAAAGGGCAAGUCAUGGCCGAUUUUGUUACUCAUCAUUGUAGGCCAGAGGUUGCUAUUGUUGAGGUAGCCCAAUGGACUUUAUUCUUUGAUGGAUCUUCAUGUGGGAUUGGAUCAGGAAUCGGCAUAAUCCUUAUAUCACCUUGGGAGGCGAACUACAAGUUCUCACUGCCAGUUGAGGCUUCUGCUACCAACAACCAGGCCGAGUAUCGAGCCAUUUUGAAGGGGAUCCAAUUGCUGAGAGAAAUCAAAGCUGAUGCUGUUGAGAUUUUUGGGGAUUCUAUGCUUAUCAUCAACCAGCUGACUGGAGGAUGUGAAUGCAGAGAUGAUAUUUUAAGAAUUUACUAUGAACAGUGCCUUCAGUUACUCAAAGAAUUCAAGAGUGUGGUUAUUGAGCAUAUUCCCAGAGAUUACGAUGAGGAUGCUAACAAGCUCGCCGCAUGCUUCUGGUUAUCGACCGAUCUGUGGUGUUAUGGCCUUAGAGUUAAUGGCCGAUGAUUGGAGGAAAGAAAUAGUAGAUUACUUAAAAGAUCCCUCCAAGAAAGUCGAUAGGCGAGUUCGAUUUCAGGCUUUGCAAUAUGUGUUGCUUGAAGAUGACCUUUAUUAUCUGAUGAUUGAUGGGGUCUUGCUUAAAUACCUCAGGGUUGAAGAAGCCAAGAAACUGAUGGGCGAAAUUCAUGAAGGGGUUUGCGGAGCUCAUCAAUCGGCUUUCAAGAUGAAGUGGAUGAUUAGAAACAAGGGGUAUUAUUGGCCGACUAUACUUGAAGACUGCUUUAAAUACUAUAAAAGUUGUCAAGAUUGUCAGAAGUUUGGCAAUGUGCAAAGAGCCCCGGCAUCGGCUAUGAAUCCUAUAAUAGAGUUGUGGCCAUUUAGGGGGUAUCGAUUUGAUCGGCCAGAUUUAUCCACCUUCAAGCAAGGGUCAUAAGUUCAUACUAGUAGCAACGAAUUAUUUCACUAAGUGGGUUGAAGCAAUUCCCUUGAAAAAUGCAACAUCGGCAAGCAUGGUUGAUUUUGUCAAAGAACACAUCAUCUAUCAAUUUGGUAUCCCUCAAACUAUCACUACCGAUCAAGGGACAAUGUUCACUUCGAGAGAGUUUGAGGAAUUCGCUACUAGUAUGGGAAUUAGGUUGUUGAAUUCUUCUUUGUAUUAUGCCCAGGAAAAUGGUCAAGCUGAAUCAUCCAACAAGGGGAUCAUUAAAUUAAUUAAGAGGAAGAUCGAAGAGCAGCCAAGGCGCUGGCACACUACGUUGAGCGAAUCCUUAUGGGCGUAUCAAAUGGCUUGUCACGGAGCCACAAAAGUAUCCCCUUAUCAAUUGGUUUAUGAACAUGAAGCAGUUCUACCUUGGGAGUUAAAGACUGGGUCUAGGCGUGCAUCGUUGCAAGACCAGUUAACAGCCGAAGAAUACUCUACUUUGAUGAAAGGGGAUUUGGAAGACCUAGCGGGUCAUCGACUAAGGUCUUUGAUCAGCAUCGAAGAAAAUAAGAAGAGGGUGGCUAGAUGGUAUGACAAAAAGGUCAAGGUCAAGGAGUAUUCCCAAGGAGAUUUAGUCUGGAAGCCGAUAUUGCCGAUUGUGUCUAAAGAUCCCAAAUUUGGGAAAUGGUCGCCUACAUGGGAGGGACCGUAUCGGAUAAACCGGUGUGCUCCUGGUAAUGAGUAUAUUUUGGAGACACUUGAAGGAGAGGAGUUCACAAGGGCUCUAAAUGGAAAAUACUUUAAGAAGUACUACCCGAGUAUAUGGGUAGAUGCAUAGCCGAUGGUGUGAUGCCUCGGACUAACAUAGACGAUAUUGAGGGUAUCGCCUUUAGUCUAAAAAGAAAAGAAGGAAAAAGGCAGACACAUGGAUAGCCGAUAAAAUCAGCUGUGAUAUGGCCGAUGUGAUACAAGUCACCCUUAGAACAAAUAAUACUUGCAACACUUCGGACACAACAGGUUAUUACAUCAAAGUCAUCAUUAUAUCAUGGCCAAGACAUUCCAUUACAGGCAAAUCUGGAUGGCUCCCUAUUGAUAUCGGCAAAUACUUACUCCCUUUGGCGAGAUGUGCCUAGGAGACGCCCCAGUUGAGCCUUAGUAGUGCCGAUUUCCCUGUUGACCUGGCCCAAUUCCAGUAGAAGUUGAAUUUUCCUAGCCUCCAAACUGGCCAACUUGUCUUCGAGCAAUACACGGGGGGGGGGGGGGGGGGGGGGGGGAGAGAGGUUGAUGGCUUCGAAGGAUUGGCUGCUGCAUUUGCUGGUUUGAGCCUGCAGCUUUGAUUGAGGACAAGAUCGAUUUGAUGUCCAUAGGUAGAUGGUCUCUGAUUUGAUCACGAUGAGCUUGGAUCAAAGCUUUGUCCACCUAGGUGAGCGGCUCAUUGGAAUGAAGGAUCUGGAUGACCUAUUCAAGCUGUUCGUCCACUUGAUUUGGCUGGGAAAGAGAACAAAGAGUCAAGGUUUGGUUCAUGAUAACCAAUUCGGAAUAGAGAAAACAUAGCAAUACCUGGUUGACUGAAGAAGAGGAAGCCAUCUUGGUCGCGUGAAUUCAAUCUAGUUCGAAAACUCGCAGUGUGUGCGGUCUUGAAGGUGACCUCAAGGAAGGAGUAGGGGUCUGUAUUUAUAAGACGAAUAGACGUGUGAAAUGUGAACAAUGGUCGGUCAAAAGGGGCUUUAAAUGGGACUAGCCAUUGGCGAGUCAGAAAGAGCUGUGGAGAAACGGUCAAAUUACAUUCAAGAUGGAUAUUGAGCAUUGACAUCACGAGAGGAAUGUACCAAGUACCAGAAUACAUAAAAGCUAAUAACGUUCGUUACAAUUAUGCUAGAAGAGUUUGAAUGGCAUUUAUCGCACGCAGGCGAAUCUGAUUGGCAGCCUUUAUCUCCCUACGGUCGUCAUCGGCUGAGCCGGGUAUGUCAGUUAUGCUCCGAUGUAGCUGAAUAGCUUGAUGCGCAUGUGCUUGCUUUUCCUGCUCUAAUUGCUUGAGGACUUCUAGAAGUUGGGCGAGCUUGGUUUCUUCGACGAUGAUGGCAUCGCCGAUGCUUUUCAAUUCCUUCAUCAGUUUUUACCUCCUUGCUUUGAGCCAAUCAAUUUCACCAACAAUAUUGGGGCGAGAAUCCCUAAGAAAGCCGAUCUUGGGAUGGAUUUCAUCGGCCUAAAGCUUAUGGAAUUCCUUGUCCUUAUGCAAUUGUUCCUGUUUGGCGCGAUCGGCUGUGCGGCGUAGAGCCCUUAACAUCGGGACUUGGUGACUCCCUAUGUAGGCUGCGGGGAGGAUGGCUUCUUCUUUGUCUUCUAGGAUCUGGCCUUUGAGGUUGCGGAGGAUGUCGUGCAUCGGUUGUGCAUCUUUGACUAGUUGGCUGAUGCCUUGCUGAAGGAAGUCGAGUAUAUCUUGAAGUUUGGCCUUUAGGACAUCAGGAAUAGAUUCUGGAACCAGUGGGUGUGACAAAACUUCUUCUUCUUCGUGGAUUUCCCCUACCUGAAAUGAGAAGAGGCUGCUGUCUGGAGUGUCCUGAGCCUGCAAGGAUCAAUAAGGUAUAAGCUGAUGAAGCUAGUUGAUUGGAAUCAAUUAAUGUGCAAAAGAGUGUUCACCAUCUUCCAUUGGGUUUCUCUGGUUUGUGUUGGUGAUUCCACUAGGGACUCUUGUUGAACUGGUUCUGCGGAGGGUGGCAUGUUCUUGGAAGGUACAUUGACUGCUAGUGUUUCAAGAAUAGCGGCCGACACUUCUGGGAUAGUCUGUAUAGAAAACCGAACGAUUCUUAGCAACGGAGGUUGAGAAGGGUUGGAAUAGAGUAUGCAUUUUACCUCAAGUGUUGGAGUGAUGGCCGAUGCAGUCUCCUGUGUAUCUUUAGCCUGUGGAUCAGCCGAUGAAGGAGGCGGAGGCAUAGCCGAUUCUAGGAUGGGCUCUUCUGGUGCCGAUUGUGCGGAAGGCUAAAAGAAACAAGAGUCAGUACUAGCAAAGUAUCUAGAAAAAAUUAAAUAAGUGAGAUUACCUGCAUAGCCUCUAUCAAAAGUGAUGUAGCUACUGACGCUACUUCCGCUAGAACAGCCGUUUGGGGUGCCACCGCUGCCGUCGGAUCAGUCUCCUGGGCUGACGCUGCUGUCGGCAGGACGGAUGCCUAUGCUGAUUUGGAGCCUUUUUGAGGGUGCUUCUUACGGGUAGCCUUCUCAAGAAUAGAGACUUUGCGCUUUUGGCCUACGGCUAUGUCCAUUAAAGAUGGCGCAUCGUAGCCAAUGAGGGGGUCAGCCAAUGGAGGGACGUAAGCAAUUGGCUUGUUGCUCUAGCUAACUCUUGAAGGUGUAAAGUGAACACCCUGUAAAGGGCAAAAGUGUUAGUGGGAAGAAAAUAUCUGUAAUGAAAGGAGAUUCAGCGGAAUCAAUGGUGAUUACCCCUCCAUCAGGAUCAUUGAAGUCUAGGUCGAACUUCCUACAAUAAAUUCUUGUUGCCACAUAGAAAAGAUGAUUCUUCC